UGGAAGAUAUAUAUAAAAACAUAAGUAUAGUUAGAUUAUCUUUCUAUUAGGUUGAGCGAUUUGAUCUGACAAUUGUUUAAAAUGUUACACUCAUGAUCUUAUUAUCCAUCAACUUUGUCUUGCUCACUAUGCUUAAGGUUAGAGAGAACAUAUACACUUUUGGUUCUGUUGGUGUUUUCCACCAACAGGGCCCAUGCACUUGAUCUCUGCCUUGUCUCUAUGAGCAGAUACACUUUGAGCAAAAUAUGAAGGACUUUUACAACUCCCAGACUCCACCAAGUGAAGAACCUAGAUCUACGAGCACAAACACACUGGAGAUACCGGACACUCAGGCAAUCACUGCCCUGAGAUGCUUGAGGACGUAACUACUGGAGUAACCCCAUUGUGGAAGUAAUUACUGACUUUCUGCCGGUCAAGAGAGACAAUCUAGGACGCCCCAUCAUCCCAAUCUCCUUCGGCAUGGUGGACUUCCCAGAUGCACUCUGUGACUUUGGCUCUAGCGUCAACAUUAUGCCCAGGCUUGCAGAUCAGACACUAAGUUUCCCAAAGGGAAUAUUGAAGAACCUCUACGUACGAGUUGGCACCUUAUACGCUCCAGCAGACUUCGUGGUGAUAGAGACUGAUACUGAUGAGAGGGCACCCAUCAUCUUAGGGAGGCCAUUCCUAAACACCUCAGGAGCUAUCAUCUACGCUAGUGCUGCCAAGAUCAGUUUCUACAUCAAGGGGAGGAAGGAGACGUUUUCCUUCGAGAACAAGAUUACACAAAUCACAGAGCAAUCCUGACAUGAACCAAGGAAGAGGACCAACAGGAGGAACAGGAACAAGCAAAUGUGGACCGAAUCAGUUAAGAUGGUCACUGCAAUUCACAGAGGUCAAGAUCGUCGACUCAAGUCGCCUUUCCUGACCAAGAAGGACGACCCAAGUAUGCCAAGCAUCCAGUGCUCCAUUAAUGAAUACAACUUCCAGAAGAUGCUUUGCAACAUAGGGUCAGGCGUCAACAAAAUGGCCGCAGCCACCUAUAAGCUCCUGUUUGGAACCAUGCCCCUACAACCAACAUACAUUCAGCUCUAGAUGGCAGAUUAGACAUUUCGGAAGGUUGAAGUUAUUGAUAUGGGAGAAGACGAGUACGAUCCACCCAUCAUCCUUGGAAGACUGUUCCUCAGCACUGUUAAAGCAAUCAUCUACCUUGGAACCGGAGAAGUCCACAUGCACUUCCCCUCUGAGAAGGUACGCUGCUAUUUUCCUGACCCUAACCAUAUAGUUGAAAACUCUAAGCAGGUCAGAACAAAAAGAAGACGACACAACCGUAACCAGAAGAGGCAAAUCAUCAAGGAUGGAUGGCCAGACUAUGAAGGAGAAGUUGUAAGGUUUGAAGACAUACAGCUUGAACAGAACUGUCCUGAGGAGACCGUAGCACCGAGUCAGGUGUGGGGAGAGAAGAUAGUUAUACACGAAGAGCAGGUGCCACCGGAACCACCGACUACGCCAUCCAGCAAAUCUCAGGACGACUGAGGAAACGGAGAGUCCCGUUCGGAGGACUUAAAAAAACACCGAACGCCUUGCCAAGAGGUAAUCUUGAUAGUUAUCCUUUUCCUUUUAAUUAUUUAAAAUAGUUUGCUUAGUUAAUCAGGUUCAUAUUAUCUUGAAAAGAAAAUAAAAAUAUUAAAAAAAUAGUAAGCCCCAUGUGAGUAUGCUCAUGGCAUAAAUCCCAUAAGUACAUUCACUGUGGUGGCAUAAAAAUAAAAUAAAUAUAUUUCUGUCCUAUAAAAAUAAAAUUAUAAAAAUAAAAUUAUGAUCCUACUAAAGAGAGUAACAUUUAUUGAGUUGGCUCAACAUGAUAAAGGCUAGAUAUUUAUGCUAACACUUAACUAGUUCCACAAAGCUUUGUUGUCUAUUUGAGCUCUACAGAAUUCAAGGAUCAAAGAAGACUAGCAGACGGAGGACAUCCUAAUCACUGUCAGGGUGCUGCCAACAUUCAAAUACACCUCCGCCACCUGCUAGCUACAUCAGAAGAAAUUGCGUCAAAAUCCAGCUUGGGGGAGAGCACCCCCAUUUAUCCAGCUAAGUGUUCUAUUGGCGUUUAUACUUUACUCAAACAAUAAAAAGAUGCAUAGUUUGCUUUCAUAAAAACCCAAAUAAAGAUUUUGUGCUUUUAUAUAUAUCUUUGCUUAGUUUGCUAAAUAAAUAAAUAAAUAAAGUUUGCUAUGAACCCUCAUGAUAAGCUCUCACAUGGAAAUGAUGAAUAGUUGCUCUGCCAUGACUAGUUCUCAAAAUUGAGAUCUCUCUCAAGUUUAGGCCUGACUAUUAUUAAUUAAGAUUUGCUCUAAACUUGAACUUGUGGGAAGAUUACUUGAUCUAAAGUCUAAGUUGUUAACGGAUAUGAUAUGGGAAGGUUGAGCUGCUGUUUAUCUGUUCCUAGAGAUGCUAGAAUUCUGGAGAAUUUUAUCUUUGAAAAUCUUUAAAAUAACACAUGAUGAGUUCCUGUAUGAUGAGAGUUUAAAUUCCUACCACAGCCAUAUAUACAUGCUUGCUAGACUUUGAGCCAUACAUUUACUUUUUACUGCUUAUGAGCAUUGAGUGUGGUCAAGCUGUGUAGACCCUUAGGAGCUUGUCAUGUGGUUAAAUCAAGAUUCACUUGCACGUUCACUCAUACAUGCUGCUUCUACUCCGGAAGUAUGCAUCCACAUACAUCCACUCAAUUCCAUCUCCAGAUUCACCUAAAAUUAUUUUACUCCUAAUCUGGGAGAGAAUAGCCAAAAACAUUAUCCUAUUUCUGUUUUUCCCCUGUGAAAUAAAUGCUCAAGUUAUCUUGGUUACUACCACUUGCUAUAUUAUUUUAAGAGAUGAGUGCUCUAAUAAAAAAAAGGGGGAUAAAAAAGUAUACGAGGAAAAAAAAAGGGGCAAGUGCCCGGAACCUCGAAGAAAAGAAAAAGUAAGACGAGAGGUAAAAAUGGACAAGUGUCCGACAGUACAAUUAGGGGUACAAGAUACCCACCUGAGAGAAAAGAAAAAAAAAUAUAGAGCAUCCUAUUUUCCUCAAAAAGUUUCAAAAGAGUAAGAAAGGUAUGUAUCCCCUCAAAAGAGCACAAGUAGAAUUAGACAUUCACCAUUGUUGUCACCAUCAUUAGCAUGCACCAUUCAUUCGCCACACAUGCACAUCUUGAUUUGACUUAUUGACUUGUUCUUCUGGAUCCAUGGUUUGACUAUGCAAUAAAUGUCUUGUAAGUAUGUAUUAGCUGUCUCCCACCUAUGAGCUCCAGAUAUCAAAAGCCUUAUUAGAGUAGGAUGAGAGAGAAGGCAAUGCCACUAUGCCUCAUACCAAAAAUACCACAUACUUUGAGAGAAGGCAUACACCAUUACUGUCUUGGUUAGGAUCCAGAAAUACCACAAAAGAGAGACUAGAGAGAGUCAUACAAGGAAUCUCUGAGUUUUAUUUGAAAAUCUGCAAAAACUCCAGAGCUAUAGUUAAUCGACGAACAAGAGACAUGGCGCUUGAUUAGACCGUUCUAUCUUUUAACUGCUCAAGACAUAAGUGACGGUUACAAGCCCCAUGGUGGAAGGUAAAAUGAGUAAGUUUAAAUCUUAACAGUUUACCCUAACCCAGAGAUGAGAUCUUGUUUGAACGCAUGUGUACCUUUAAGGCAUGAAACCACUGCAGAAACUCUUGAGUUCAUCUUUGCUCAGGGACGAGCAAAGGAUAAGCUUGGGGGAGCUUGUUGACGGUCCUUAGUGCUCACAUUUAACCGUCAACUAAUCAUGGAAAAGGAUCUAAAUGGAACCAACACCUAGACUUAGGGUUCUCUCUGACAUAAUUCCACGAGUUUUGGUGUUUGUCUAUUUCUGCAGGGGUUAUCAGGAAAUACAGAAGAAAGGCCCACACGUCGGGUUUAUAUAGAGAUAUUAACGUGCCGCGCAAUUUUAUAUCAUCUAGAAGACUCCAGAAGCCACGGGACCGAAGCGGAGGCCGAGAGGACUCAGGGACAGGGCGCCCGCCCUAGUCCUUAGGGCGCCCGCCCUCCUAUUCUGCCCAAUCAGGGUACAACUCAGGGAUCAUGCUCCACCGACCUAAAGGAUCAAGGAUAACCAUUCAAUCCAUGUCAGUUUGAUCCAACGGCCCAGAUUCAUCUGAAAAGACUAUAUAAGCAAGGCCCCCUGGCCCCUGGAGAUCAUACCUCUUCUACAGAAUCAAAGUUAGGGUUUCAAUUCUUCAUCCAAGUAGAGAGGAUCCCUCUAGUUCUUCUAGUUCUACCUCUAGUUCAUCUAGUUCUAGUUCUAGUUCUAGUUCAUCUAGUUCUAGUUCUAGUUCCUCUAGUUCUAGUUCUAGUUAGUUCUAGUUGUAAUCUAGAAAAUUGGGAGAGAGAAGAGGAGAGCGAAGGAGGAGGAGACGGAUCUGUCAGAUCUUCCUCAACAUUGUACUUUUGCAGCAACUGGUUCGUUCUUCAUCGUUCUCUAGGUUCUUCAAUUCACAAUUCCUGAGUUCUUUAAUUACUUUUAUUUACAUUCAAGUUAUUUAUUGGAUUCUCGCUUGCAUCAAGUGCUCUAAUCUUUAAAACAUUAGAGUAGUAAUUAAUAGAUUAGACGUGGUGUUUAGUCUUGCAAUUACCUGGAAUUGCACCCAAUCCUGCGGAUUGUUGUGGUAGCCCUAGGGUAGUGAUAGCCCUAACGGUCGACGUAUUCCACCUCGUUCGGAUCGGUGUUUGUAGGACCGUAGUCAGACCUUCCUAGCCUCUUUCUGUGGUUAGUGCUCUGAUGUCGCGAUAUAGAUAAUCUUGAAGUAAUUCUUGAUUCUUAGAUCAACUAGAGAACUCUCAGGAAACUUCCUCUCUUCCCACCAAAAAUAAUUAUAUAGUUAUCCUUGGGCGAUCUUGAUUCUUAAUUAGUACACUCACGUUCCCUGUGGAAAAUCGAUACUCUGGAAUACUCCCGGGUGAAGGCUACAUCGGUAUUCGUGCGCUUGCGGAUUUUUCUGUUUGCGUUUAAAAUACCCAACAGCAAGCGGUGUUGAUGGCCUCACACCAAAAUAUAUUCGACGUCUUGUAUUCAUCAAGCAUAGUUCUUGCCAUGUCGAUAAGUGUUCUAUUCUUCCUCUCUACCACACCAUUUUGUUGUGGGGUGUACGUGGUUGAAAAUUCAUGCUUGAUGCCUUCAUCAUCAAGAAACUCUUCAACUUGAGUGUUUUUGAAUUCGGUCCCAUUGUCACUUCUUACUUUCUUGAUAGGAAGACCAAAUUCCUUUUGUGCUCGUCUGACGAAGGUUUUCACCUUGUCUUGUACCUGACACUUGUCAUAAACAAAGAACACCCAAGUGAAACGUGAAUAAUCAUCAACAAUUACUAAUCCAUAUUUGUUACCCCCAAAGCUUAGGUAGGCGACCGGUACAAAGAGAUCCAUGUGUAUCAACUCCAAGGGUUGAGUGGUAGUCAUUAUGCUCUUUGGUGGGUGAGGUACACCUACUUGUUUUUCGGCCUGGCAAGCGCUACAAAUCCUAUCUUUUUCAAAACUAACAUUUGUUAGUCCAAGGAUGUGGUUGUCUUUCAAGAGUUUGGCCAAAUUCCUCAUCCCAACAUGAGCUAGUCGGCGAUGCCAUAGCCAACCCAUGCUGGAUUUUGCCACUAAACAGGUCUCAAUCUUGGUUUCACUCUUGCUGAAGUCAACAAGGUAAAGUUUAUUUUUCAACCGACCCGUAAAGACAAUAGAGGCAUCCUCCCUCUUGAAGACUUCCACACCCUUAUCCGUAAAGAGACAAUUGUAUCCCAUUUCACAUAGUUGAGAAAUGGACAGCAAAUUGUAACUUAACGAAUCAACAUGUAAGACAUUUGAAAUAGAAUGAUCAAGUGAUAUAGCUACUUUACCAAGACCUAUCACUUCCCCUUUUGAGUUAUCACCAAAAACAAUGUUGUCAUUGGAGUUUGUUGUUGGGGAAUAUGAUGAAAACAUACUCCUUUCUCCGGUCAUAUGAUUUGUGCAGCCACUAUCAAGCACCCAACUUGAUCCACCGGAGGAGUAUGCCUGCAAAACAAGUUUAGUUGCUAGGUUUAGGUCCCCAAUCAUUCUUGGGGCCUCUCAUGUUAGUCACAAGAAUCUUAGGAACCCAAAUAGAGGUGUGAAGAUAAAUAUUUCUGUCCUUGCCAAUAUACUUGGCAAUCACCUCCCCUUUGCUAUUGUUUUUCAACACAAAACUAGAGUUCAAGCCUUGUUGAAAUAUUUGUGCCUUGGGUUGAUACUUAAGCUUGCUUGAUAUACCCCAGACUGUAUCUCUUGGUUUCUGGAUCUUUUUAUCCUGCUGGGACAUAUGCUUCUUGGACUUGUCACUAGCAUAGGAGGUAUGGGUGGCCUUCCCUUUCCAGUGGGGGGCGGCACUGCCGCCCUUGGUUGGCAGUGCUGCUCGGGGCAGCCAUGGUGUCACCUUCUGUGCAGGCUGUUCUGUACCUAUUUUUCCUUUGCUAGUAAAUUUCACACACUCAUAUCCAUUUAUUACCCUUCUUCCAUUUGUCUUGGCUCCUUUCUUUAGACCAAGUCCAUCCUUUAUAUAGGGGUGUCUCCCAUCCUUGUAUUGUGCUUUCUUUGAUGGAUUCUUCUUGCCAUUACUAACCUUAUUGCACUUCUCACUUAUGACAACAUUUAAUCUUGAGAUCUCUUUUCUCAUUUCACAUAUGUUCAUAAGGUUAGCUCCAUGAGUAUUUUUGUCAAUGUUGUGGCAAGUUUCACAUUUUAGACUAGUGGAGGAAUUAGAGGUGCCUUUUGUAUUAGAGGGCUAUGAGUUGCUCUCCAAAAGAAGAUAAUAUUGCCUCUCGAGUUUGUUGUGCUUUUCCUUUAAGACACAAUACUUAUCGUUGACUGCAAUAUUUGCCUUCUUUGUGAGAGCAUGUUCUCUUUGUUCCUCGGUCAAGACCUUGGUCAAAGAGUCCACCUCACUUCUCUCCAACACAAGAGCUUCCUUACAAGCAAUGUACAUAUUCUCUUUGCUCAAGUAAGUCAUCAUCUCUUGUUGCCAGCUCAGCUCGCACACUCUCUAAAUCCUCCAAUAGUUUAGUGAUGAAUAUUUUGGUCUUAGGAUCUAACUUUCUUGUUAUUUGAACGAACUCAUCAUUGUCACUAAGAUCAUCAUCACUAGAGCUUUCACUAAGUUCACUACUAGAUAUAUCACUAGGGAUUUGAGAGGAUUUGGAUUUAGUUUUUACCUUCUCACCCUUUGCCAUAAGACAAAUGUGAGGGGAGAUAUGAUCAUCGUCAUCAGACAUGUUGGAGAAGAGCUUCGGUGUUGAGGAUGAUCCUUGAAUUGCCAAGGUUGCAACUUUCAUAUCCUCAUCACUUGACUCUUUAGUUGAAUCCCACUCAUGUCCAAUGUGUGCUUCUCCCAAUUGCUUAUUUUUCUUCUUGUAUUCAUGCUUGCCUUCUCUAAUGUUGUCUCUCUUGUAGUUAUUCUCCUUCUUCUCAUAAGGACACUUGGCAACAAAGUGCUCGGUGCUGCCACAAUUAUAGCAAGUUCUCUUUUUCUUGUUUGGGAACUUUCUUUGGACAACUUUAUAUCCAUUUUGCUUCAGCCCCUUGUGAUACUUCCUUAUAAAUAAAGCCAUGUCAUCAAUUUUCUUGAAAUCAGCCCCUUGUGUUUCUUCUUCUUCACUUGAAGAUGAGCUUGUGUCCUCUCUUGUUUGCACUUGUUUUGGUUCUUUGGAUUGACUAGUUGAUGUUUGCUUGCUGUCCUUGAUCUUGUUUGAGCUUCCUUUCUUGCUUGAUUUGUUGGCUUUGAGAGCAACUUCUUUAAUCUUCAUGCCAUCUAGUUUUGCUUGCAGCUCACCGAGCUUCCUUCUUUUAUUUGCUUCUUCUCUUUGCAUGUCAAAAGUCAACAAUCUUCCAAGCACAUCAUUUGGUGUGAAGUGCUCAAACUUUUUCUUAUCCCUAAUCAAGGUGACUACGGUCUCAUUUCUUGGUGAGUAUGCUUCCAACAUGAUUUUCACCACCUUGUGAUCAUCAAGCUCCUCACAACCAUACCCUCUAAUUUUGCCAACCAAGGUCAUCAAUCUAUCAAACAUCUCUUGAGGACCUUCUCCAUCAAUUAUCACAAACCUAUUUAGCUUAGCCAUCAAUAAGUCAAUUUUGGCUCUUCUCACUUUGUCCACACCCUCAUGUGCAAGAUGCAAGGUGUCCCAAAUCUGUUUUGCCACAUCAACAUUCAUCACUCUAUUGUACUCAUUUCCAUCUAGAGCACUAAGGAGAAUGCUUGUGGCUUGUCCGUUGAGGUGGACAGCAGCUAGCUCUUCAUUUGUUGGCUCUUCGGGGUUCUCUGGUGCUUGAAAUCCACUACACACAAUUUCCCAAAGACUGGGGUGAAGACCGAUAAGAUAAGCCUUCAUCAAGUGCUUCCACUUGGCAAAGUUUGUCCCAUUGAAAUGAGGCAACUUCCUGGCGGGCACGUUAAUGAAAGACUUGCGGUCACGAUUAGUCAAGUAAGAAUAAUUAAAGGAUACGGCUGAAUAUUUCUUCUUGUUGGUGCUCUCCUUGUCUUUGUUUGUCUUUUUCUUGUUCUUCUCUUGUUCCUUGGAAACGUGAUACGAUGCAUCAUCAUCCCCAUCUUCCGAGCUACUAGAUAGCUCACUCGAAGAAGCAUCAUACGUCUUUCUUUCUUCUUGCUUUGUUCUUGCAGCCCUUCUUUUUGCUCUUUCUUCGCGUAUGCGCUUUCUUUCUUCUUUUCUCUUCAGCUUCUCAUCAUGCUUUUGUUGUUCUUCUUUUGCUUUUCUCCUUGCUUCUCUUCUUGCUCUUCUUUCUUUCUUUCCACAUCGGUGGUCCUGUCAUCUUUGAGGGUAGCAUUGCCUGCUGUGGACAGUGACAUCUCACGGUCACUGCUUGCAUCCUCGACAAGCACAUCAUCAUCCUUUGGCUCUCGUGUGGAUCUUGAACCUCUUCCAACUUCCAUACUUCACGCGGUGAAGCGUAUCUGAAGUAAUGAGGCUUUGAUACCACUUGUAGGAUCUCCUGAAAGUAAAAGAGGCCUAGAGGGGGGUGAAUAGGCCUGUUAAAAAUUAAUUCAAAACUCUGUUAGCUCAGAGGGCGGCACUGCCGGCCUUCUAGGGCAUCACUGCCGGCCUACAAAUAAAAUACCCACGGUGAUAAAACUUUGUAGGAAGUUAACUUACGUAAAGAAGAGUCCAAUCCUGCAAAACAAGGAAAAGAUCCAGUACGAAGAUUGGAUACCACAGAAAAGUCUCACAAGACUAGAUCGGGUUACCAAACCCUAGAAGAGUAUAACUUUGAGAAAUAAUCUGCAAGAAGCACACAAGACUCAGAGAUUUAUCCCGUGGUUCAGCUCACCACAAAGGCUUGCCUAGGUCCACGUUAUUGAGGAAGCCACAAAAGGCUUAGGCUUGCCACAAAGGCUUGCCCUACCCUUGUUCUCAAGUCAAGAGAGUAAACUCUUGAAGUGAGGGGUAAUUUCUUAGCUGCAAAAACAAGUUUACAAACCUCCCAAGGCUGCCACACAGGAGGGCAAGCUCAUGGGCGACGCCUAGCCGGCUAGGAGCAAGCUCCAAGAGUAAUAAACCCUAGAACCGCCGACCAAACGUGAACCAAAUGCUCUUAGACUUUUGGAAGCAGUGGAUCUACUCUCCAAUCGAGUUUUGCUGCCUUUUCUCUCAAGGAUUGAUGGUUGGAAUCAAAGAUUGCUUGAGGGAUGGAGAGCAACAACGGAGGAGAGAGAGAGAGCUCUGGUCUGUCUGAGCAAGAGAUAAGUUGUCUGAGGUCCAAGAUGACCGUUGUGAGGAGCGUCCAGAGGUAUAUACCUCCCCUAGGUCCCAACGGUCAGAAGAGGGCGGCACUGCCGCCCAUGAUGGGCAGUACGGCCACCCUGGCUAGAGCAGGUUAAGAAGAAAACUGUUUUACGUGCUGCUUUGGCUGAGAAAGAGGAAGUUGUUUUGAGAAGAUGAGCAUCUGGUUGCAUAGUUGAUCAACAAUUCUAGAAUUCCCCUUUAUAGUACGGCUUUUCCUAAACUCAAAUAAAGAAUAUAAAAUGAAGUAACACGUCUUUGAGUUUGGAUCAGCUCAAACAUGUUUUCAGAAUACCAGCAACCUGUACAUCACUUCUAUCGUUUUGAUCCCCUACUCAUUAACUCGAUAAAACUUGUUAGUCCUCUAAUUUUAUUGUCAUUAACACCAAUACCCACAAUAGGGCUUGAUUGCACUUACACGGUGCCUAACCCUAACCGGGCCUGGCUGCCUGCACAGCGGACGCAUAGGCACAACGUCGGUGCUUCUGGGCUAGCGUCCGGUGAGUGUUUCCCGUGACUUCUCCGAAAUUCCCAUCGGCGCAAUAGAAAAUAUGCACUUCAUUUUCUCAAAAACCAUCCUCUCUCUACCCUUCAAACUCCACCUCCUUAUCAAAGCGUGCUAACACCACAAAGUGUAAACCAACAUGUGCACGUGUGUUAGCAUUUUCACAAUCAUUUUCUUCGAAGGAGUUAAGUUAGCUCACUAGGUUCUAAAUGCAUGCACAUGAACAAUGACACCUAGUGGCACUUGAUAACCGCUUAGCCAAAGAAUUAUAGUACGACUAUCUAUCCUAGAUGUGAUCACACCCUCUAUGGUGUCUUGAUCACUAAAACCAAAAACCUAAGCAAUACCUUUGCCUUGAUCUCCAUAGGGUUUUGUUUUUCUCUUUCUUAUUUUCCAAGUUGAGCACUUGAUCACCUUGUGGUCAUCAUCAUCAUCACCAUGAUCAUCACUUCCUCCAUCACUUGGCAUGUACCAACCUCAUUAAGUCUACACACACUUAGUAUAGAGGUUAGUACUUGGGUUUCAUCAAUUAUCCAAAAACCAAACUAGGGCUUUCAACUAUCCCCGAUGACGCAGUAAGUUUUCUCCCAAUACUUAGUCCUUUCUUUAUUUUUAACUUCAUCAGCAACUAACUCUUUUAUUUGACAGGUCGAUCACCCAGUAUCAGUCAUGAGCAAAAGUGGGCGACCUUUCGAUCUACGGCCAGUGUCCUCGAUCUCACCAAUCGGUUACAAUGCCCCUACCUUGGCGGCUUUGACUCAUCGGGGAGCCCGUCCUAGGGAAACCACCACCAAGCGCCCAAAAGCCACUCAAUUGGUUGCUGCUGCAACUCAAGUGAAAGCAUUCAAGGUAACAAUUCUAUUUACUUCAAUCUAUGCCAAUCUCAAACUGUACUGACAUUAUCUUUCCAAGGCAUUACAUCUGCAACCGGGGCAUCAUCCUUGAUGAACCUUCAGAGGUACUUUUCUGGCUUCACAUUUAACUUUAUCAAACAUCAUGCCUUACCUCUGUUUUGCAGCAAUAAACCGAUGCAUCGACAAGAGCUCCAGACACUCAACCAACAAGUGCUGAUGCCCCUAGCCAGCGACCGCAAAAGCCCAAACCAAAUGCAAAGCUCUGACAAGCACCAAGACCCAACCGAAGUGGCAAAAAGCUGCACCAUCCUCACCACCCCAGCCAAUGUCUCUAAGUCAAGCUGAACCAGUCGAUGCACCUGAGUAGACAAUUGACCCGCCCGACCAAGGCACGUCAUCGGCCAUCGAACCUGAGCAAACCAUCGUUGCUCCUGCACAAGGUAUGCCAUCGGUCGCUGUAUUCCAACAAUUUACUGCUGAUGAAUUUGCAAAGGAAUUGCCAUUACACUUUUCAUACUUAUUCUUGAAUGAUUCACUCCCUUCCUGUAGGAACAAGACUCUCCCGAUAGCCUUUUCUCUUUCGCCAUCGACAUCCCUGAUGAUGAAGGGGAAGAAGCAACUAAACUGACAUUAGGAACAGUAUCGGCAGAAGUUAAAUCUAAACUGGAGGGCCUAUUAAGCUUGCUGGAGCAAGAUACUGCUCAACUGGUAGAUGACCCAGACCCGGCAAAGAUUAUUUUGAAGACAGUCUGUGGCUAAAUCCCUGCCAAUGUUGAGGAAGCACUCUUCUAGGCUGCUCAUUUGGAAAGUCGCCAGCUUCAAUAUCAGAAGGCUACUCAGCGCAUUGCCGACAGGGCUGCCCAGGCUCAUCUUAAGGAAGAGAUGCUGCAAGUGAAGCAUAUUGCUGAUGAGAAACAUAAAAGCAUCGGCAAUUUGCAGACCUCAAGUGCUAAAUUGAAGCAGAAGAUCUCAGGACUGUUGGCAAGGAAAGAAGCUCUAUUGGUCGAGCAUAAGGAAGUCGAGGAAGCACUGAUCCGUGCCAAACACAAAGAAAGUCAACUGCCUGAUACCAUCAAAACCCUUCAACAGGAGAGGGAUGUCUAAGCCCGUAAAGCCCUGGCGAUGAAGAAGAAGCUCUAGCCAGUGGAGGGUUCUGCCGAUGAAGACAACAAAGAGAUAGAGGAAGCUAACCAGAUUCGCCUAUGUGUGAUAUCGGCUAUCCAAUCCUUACUAAACGUGUAAAUUUCUUUAUCGACAGCAUGUUACAUCGGUACUUCUCAGAAAUGUUAAAACUUUUGUCCAGCAGAUAGGAUUGUUAUCAACAUUUACACUUUCAUGCUUCCAUCCAAAUACUAGGAUAAUAAUUCUUCAAAAAUUUUCCAUUUAAUGCUCUAGGAAACUCAACCCCUUCGAGGGUUUCUAGAAUAUACGCGUUGCCACGAACAGAUCGACUUAUCCGAUAAGGACCUUUCCAAUUAGGGGACCAUUUACCAAACUUUGAACUUUUAGUCCCAAUCGGUAGAAUUAAUUUCUAAACCAGAUCUCCAUCAACAAUUUUUUUUACCUUUACUUUCUUAUCAUACCACUUGGCUACCCUCUUUUUAUUUUCUUCGAUGCUAACCAAAGCUUUUAACCGAUAACCUACCAUGUCUUCCAACUCAUCCCUCAUUGGAGUAUCGUAAUCAUCGGUUGUUAGUUGAUCUUGAGAAGAUACCUGCCUAGAGCCAAUUUUAAUAUCCCAAGGUAGUACUGCAUCAUGUCCAUAUACUAAGUAGUAAAGUGAGACCUUGGUAGCACCAUGACAUGCCAUCUGAUAUGACCAUAGAGCUUCAUUUAACACCGUAUGCCACCAUCUUGGGUUUUCUUCAAUUUUACGUUUAAUGAGUUUAAUAAUUCCCUUAUUAGAAGCUUCGGCCUAACCAUUAGCUUGAGCAUAAUAAGGGGAAGAAUUUAAAAUUUAAAUCCCCAUACCGAUGGCAAACUCAUCAAACUCUCCUCAUGUAAACAUAGUACCCUGAUCAGUAGUUAUAGUUUGAGGAAUACCAAAUCGGUAAACAAUAUGCUCUUUUACAAAAUCAAUCAUGUUGGCCGAUGUCAUCUUUUUCAAAGGAAUUGCUUCAACCCACUUAGUGAAAUAAUCGGUAGCAACAAGUAUAAAUUUAUGUCCUUUGCUCGAUGGUGGAUAAAUUUGACCGAUGAGAUCAAUAGCCUAUCCCUAGAACGGCCACGGUUUAAUGAUAGGAUUCUGUAACACCCCAAAAUUUGCAAUUUCCCAAAAUAGGAGAAAUGGUUUUAAUUGUGUAUUUUUGUGCCCAUGAAAUAUAGGAAAAAUAACAUUUUUAUUUAAUUAAAAUAUACUAUAGGAGUUAACAUCUUGUUUGAGCACGCAUGCCUCUGCAUUUGAUUUAUUGUGAUGAGUGGUUUUGGCUAAAGAUUAAAAAGAGAUUCAAACUUGGUUUUGAAAAUGUUUUGAAAUAGGUUUGUUUUAAAAGAAAAGGGAAACAAAAAAAAGAAGAACUCUCCCUCUCUAUUUUCGGCCCGAAGGCCCAGAACCUUUCCCUCCCCCUUUUCUUCUUCUCUCUGGCCCAAGUGGCAACUGCGGCCCAGCUUCCCCCCCCGCGCCAGCAUCCUUCCCCCUCUCUCCUUUCCACUGACGAGUGGGUCCCACGCCCUUGAAUCACAGACAGGUGGGGCUCACCUGUCGGACUCGUCUCCUACCUCAUGACGAAGCCGGACUCCAUCACGAGUUGGAAACGGACGCGCGUGAUCCUCGCGGUUGGCUUGCCCCGCACGCCGAGGGGGCCUUAAAUAGCGCCCCAGCUCUGCCAAACCACCCUACCCCAACUCUAGGACGAGCAGCCGCCGCAGCCGAGCCAUAGAACGCCACCGAGAUCCGCGCUGCACUCGGAAUUCCGCAGCGCCGUAGCUUUGCCUCCGUAAGCUCCAUGCCAAGCUUGAUACCGUCCAUGCGAUUUCGCUGAGUCUUCCCUCUUGUGAUUUCAUGCUCUCUACACUCCGUGUGACCUCGCCGAACUUUCACAGAGGCCGUCGUCCGCCCUCCACCGUCGUGGGCACUCUCGGGUCGAUCUCGGCUCUACUCCUUGCCCUAGGUGAGUUCGCCUUGAGCUCCACUACGCCCCGGUGCAAUCGGUUUGUUUCAUAGUGCCCUAAUCCGCUCAAACCACGAACGCCGGCCAACUCCGGCCAUGGCGCCGCCAGGUUCGGCCCCAACUCCGGCCGGCGAACUCCCUCUCCCUCCCCACGAUCUAAUCUCGGCCAUUCACCCGCGAUCCGACGGCUCAAAUCAAAAGGUACCCCUUCGGCCGCAUCUUUUACAAAAGAACCCCCCGGGGUUUUAAAGAUAUAACCCGCAGUCCAAAACGCACUUCUGAAAAUAUGUUUUCCGAUUUCGAAGACAUAAACUCACUACUCAGAUUCAAAAUACGUUUUUAUGAAAUUACAAGUUUGCCACUGGUUUUAUAUUGCUCAUAAAAUAUUUGUUUUAACUCCGAUUUGAUCCAUUCAAAUUGCGUUAGAUUCGUAAUCACAAGAUCUACAUGUUAGUCUCAUUGCUUUACAAGUUUACAACUUUUUAUUUUCGUGAUCCUAUUUAAUUAAUUAUUUUUUCUAAAGAAAAUCUUAGAAAAAUCAUAACUUCUUCGUUAUAGCUUCGAUUUUCGUGAUCUUUAUGCCUGUGUGAUCGUAGAGCGAUGUAGAUUUGUUUUAUAAACUUUUCAUCUUUAUUUGCAACUGUUGGUGUAUUGUUCUAAUUAUAAGUUUGUUUGCUUUGUAUGUUUGCCUCUGGAUGAUUGCUGUUGAUGUGAUGACUGAGUUUAGUCGGUGAGCUUUUGCGUGGUGAUCAAGGAGCAAUUUGUGGAAGGUUUGGAACUAAAAGAAGGAUCUGAGUUUCAAGGCAAGUAUAGCAUGGGAUCAUCCUUGUUGCCUAAUAACUUUAAUCACACAAUUCAUAUUGCAUGUGUCUCCUUGUUAAGGAUUUCCUAGUAUUGAUCUUAUACCUUGUCACCGAUUGUUUUGCAUUGGGUAGCUUAUGCUAGCGCUCCACUAAACCAUGAUCUUGUAAUUUGAUUAAUGGAAUAUGCAAUAAACAUUAAAGGUUGACUUUUUAGCAACUUUGGAAAAAGAGGGCUGGAGCAUUGGGCUAUCUUAUGGUGCUCUAGUUUCUCUCCAUAAGGACUUAUCUGUAUCUGACCAUCCGGGACAUACAGUACAACUGUGAGGCCUACGUGGCUCUGGCUUUAGCUCAGUAUGAGGACCUUUUCUAGCUUGUUAGUGGUUACCCUUGUGGCGCAAGUGGGGGAUAGCAGACCGUGGAUUCCUGCGGGUGAGUCACACGGACUGACUAACGAAACCUAGCGGCCCUAACUUGUUAGACGAACCUUUGAAAGGCUUCAUAGUGAACCCUGCCGGUCUUCCUUGGGAGUGGGCUAAGGGGCUGAUCACCACGGGCGAAAGGAUAAAUCACGACUCACAGUGAAAGUGUACAACCUCUGCAGAGUGUAAAACUCAUAUAUAUCAGCCGUGCUCACGGUUACGAGCGGCCUUAGACCAAUACAGAAUAAAUGAUCACUAAUGGCAAAUUAUUAAAGUUAUUAUUGUAAAUAUGUGGUUUAUGCUAUUCUUUAUUCAUCUUACUUGAUCAUGAGUUUACUUUGGGGAUUUGACAUCUUGAUGCUACUCAUAUGCUAAGAUUAUGACAACUGAAAGCUACAUGCAGUUCAACCAGUGUCUAGCCUUUGAGCCUCAUGAACCCCAUGUUAUUCUUACUGAGUACCAUAUGUACUUACGCUCGCUUUUACAUUUUAUUUGGAUAAAAAUCCCAGAUGGGUACCAGAUUGCUAGUCUGGACAAGAGUUUAGGCUUGUGCUCAACCAGUCAGUUGUCCCUGUGGAUUUGGAGCUUUCGCCUGAAGAACGGAGAGUCUUUCCGCUGUUUGCUGUCUAAGGUUAUAUCUUUUAUACUAAGUUCGUUAUAUUUAAGCAUUGACUAUUGAUAUUACCCUUAUUUGUGGCUAUAUGUGAGAUUUGACUUCCUGGGCUCACAUAUGGUGUGUAUCUGGUUUUGUUCUUAAAACCGGGUGCUACAGAUUCAUGGCCGAUGCAGGCGCUCAUUGAACAUUGCCAAACUUUUGACACCCCUGGCAUCCUUUAAAAUAUUUGAAGCAAUAUUCAAGAAUAGUUGGCCAAUAAUAUUUGUUCCUUCUAAUCAUCCAUUUCAUCAUGAAAGCUGACUGAUGUGCCCCACACACUCCUUCAUGAAUUUCACCCAUCAAGCUUUUUGAUUCAUCAUUGCUAAGACAUUUGAGCAAAACUCCAUCUAAAGUGUGAUAAUAUAACUCAUCAUCGAGGAGCACAUACUUAGUAGCUUGAAACCUAACGCACCUUUCAACCUUUUUAGAUGGGUCCCUUAAGUAAUCAGUAAUCUCUAUUCACCAAUCAUCGGCAUGAACUGCCGAUGUCAGCACCUCUUUGAUAGGCUGAUACCCUAAGGCGUGCUGAGCUAGCCGAUUAGCUUCCUCAUUAUGCAAACAGGGAAUAUACUCCUGGCGAAAAUCUUUAAACUCUUUCAAUAAUUGCAAACAUCUUUCAUAAUACGAAAUUAAAACCUCACUUUGGCAUUCAUAAAUCCCAGUCAAUUGAUUUAUAACAAGUAUAGAAUCACCGAAGACCUCAACAGCAUCGGCACAUAUUUCUCUAAGUAAUUCCAACCCCUUCACCAAAGCUUGAUACUCAGUCUGAUUAUUUGUCGAUGUAGCAACAAUUGGCAAUGAAAACUCAAACAUCCUUCCUCCGGGUGAAAUUAACACCACGUCGAUGCCUGCUCCAUGAUCACAGGUAUCGACGUGCCCAGGGAGCAACUUCCAAAGAAUCCACUAUAUUGCAACGUUGAGUAACAAAAUUAGCCAUAAUCUGCCCUUUAACUGCCUUAGCCGAUUCGUAGUGUAGAUCAAAUUCUGACAACACUAAAAUCCACUUGCCAAUUCUACCACUUAAAAUUGGCAUUGAUGGCAUGUAUUUGACCACAUCAUCUUUGCAUAUGACAGUACAUUCGGCCGAUAGCAAAUAAUGCCUUAAUUUAGUACAAGAAAAGUACAAACAUAAGCGCAACUUCUCAGCCUAUAUUUAUACUCCAACCUAAAGAGUCACAACCAAAUAUGACUAGGUCCUGUUUCUAAGACAAAAUAUGACUCUUACAUAAGGCAUAUCCUAACAAAUAUAAAAAAUAACACCUAUCUACUUUUGUGUCUGACUUAACUACGAUGAAACCUUCAUUGGUCCCCGCUCCAUCGGCAUACUUCCUGCCAUCAUAGGCUUCACCAGCAGCAGUCUCCGUUUCUUCCUUCAUCAACAUCGGCAAUGUAUCCUAUCGGCAAUAGUUUUCAAACUGCCAUCGGCAAAUGCCACCUCUGAUCUCACCAGUCAGCACUUUUGAAUUUAAAUUAAAAGGCAAUCCCUUCUCGAACAAUCCUCUUUCAUCGAUAACAACCCCCAUCGGCUGAUCUUCAUCGGCACCUCUCUGUUAGUACAAUGCAAUAACUUCCCUACUACCGAUUGACCCAUCUUGAUUAUCUUGACCCGUACCAAAAAUGGUGUCAACAGAAAUACUUUAAAUCUUUAAUCUAUUACCAUACAAGUCAUGUACAUACACUAUUUAUUUUAUCACCAAUUCCUCUAUAGUGUAACCAAAUAUUAGUUUUUUUAUUAGCUUAGCAAUUUUUUACUAAAUCUAAUACAAUAAAAUACAUGCAAGUCAUAUAGUAAUGCUAUGUAUAUAAUGAUUUAUUUUAAAGAAAAUCCCACAGCAAUGCACUGGAAUUUUACCAAGUAUUAGUUAUUCUAAAAUUCAUGUGAGUCAUUACCUCCUUAAGCUUCAUGUGGUCAGUAUCAAUGUUCAAAUUGGUGGAUGGAUCCCGAUACCAUUGCAUAGCUUUUAGUGCUGCAGUACAGCCCAUAGCAUGAGCUGUGUAGGAAUGGCCAUGUAAGAGCGCCAUAAGCUGGACGUGGUAAAAAAUGGAAUCGGUGCUUGUACCAUUCUGGUUUUUUAAAAGAAGACCAGAGUCGUCAUAUGUGUGUCCACACAUAUAACAAAAAAAUAGAAAUAUCAAAAACAAUGUUAUAUAUAGCGGAAAACAUAUUUAUAAUAAUACUUACAACUAUUAGACUAUCGCGGAAUAGGUUUCUAAACUUCUUUCUCAGGCUCCAUUCUUCUCAGGGACGGCUAACUAGGAGCUUUGUAUGUCAAUCACUUCUGAUAUGCUUCUAGAAAACUCCAUGACAUCAUCGUCCUUCUUCUGAGUAGCAUUUUACUACACACUAGGGGUGUGGGGGAUAGCAAAGGUGAGUUCAUGUCGAACUCCACAAGUACAGAUGGAAAGUAUAAUGACAUGCAAGGCUUAAUCAAAGGAAAAGCUGACACUGUUUAACUAUAGGUGAGCUUUUUAGUUGGUAAACUUUUAUUACAACUCUAUUAUUAAAACAACCUAUUACUAGUGAGUGAAGCAUCCCAACCCUUAAUUAGAUGGAAGUAAAUUAACAAUAUUAUUAAUCAUCAUCAUUAUUAUUAUUACCGAGGUAGCAACCUUAGAUAGUAACUCGGGGUAGCAACCUCAUUAAGGUCAUGGGAUAGCAAUCCCAAUUAAGAACACAUGAUAGCAAUCCUACCAAACAUGAGGUAGCAACCUCAACCAAGUAUCCUUCUCCAAGUUCCAUGUAAAUCCAAUUUGGUCAUCAUGUGAGAGUCUAGGCCGCUCGUGACCGUGAGCACGGCUAAUAUAUCAGUUUUACACUCUACAGAUGUGUGCACUUUCACUCCAAGUCGUGAUUCCCAUUUGCUCAGGGUCAUGACUCCCCAAAAUACUUCCAAGGUGAGUAGGCAGAGUUUCACUACGAGACCUUUCACAGGGUCCAACUAAUAGGAUGCCACUCGUAUGUUUUGGCCGGGGCGCUCGACAGUCGUGCCCAUAGCCAUGGCGCACCGAUCAACCAACAACUUAAUAUCCAUUUCUAAGUUACUUCUUUAUGCCUACUCGGAAAGUAACACCCUACUAGUGGAGGUCCUGAUAAUUAGUCAAGGCAGAACCAUAUAGGUUGGAGCUACACUGUAUAUCUGAGGUGGCCGCUCCAUGACUAAGUCCUUACAGAGGGUAGAGACAGGUACGCCCGGCAUCUAGGCCAACCACUAGUACCCGCUCCCCCUGUCACCACCACCAUCACGAUGCUCAUAAGCAUCCAACAUGUCCAUCACCGCAUUGACCAUUAUCCAGCACGUAUUAAGCAUCAAGUUAAGUAGAGAUUAUUCUUUAUUAAAACUUAUGUAUAAGGUGAGUGGAGCAGCUAAGCAUAACUACUAUACUCGUAGUCUACCCAUAUACAUAACCCCAGGUGUACAAGGAAUGAUAGACAAAGCUAGUCACCUCCUUAAGGUUUGUAUUUAUUGGACACAUGCAAUGAAUGUAAAUAAUAUUAAAUGUAUAGGAGCAAAAUGAUCAAAGGGAGCCUGCACUUGCCUUUUUCCUAGAGUUUAACUCCUCAGAAGUCUUUGCUUCUAUCUUUCAAUCUUUAGCUUCUACUGCACUUGCCGAUCCUUAACUCUAGGUCUUCAAUGCUAAUGAACCACGCUUCUUCUACUCGAAGGUCACACCAAAUGGCAACACAAGCAAAUACACUAGGAGACAAACAAAUAAACAAGCAAACAUAACUACUAAGAACAUAAACCAAACAAAAAAGAAGCUUUGGAAAGAGCGCACUAAACGAUGUGGAUCAAUGCUAAGGUCAUGAGAGCGCAUAAACGGUCGAGAACGGAGCUAUCGUACUAUCGAGACUCGCAAUAUAACGGAGUAGACAGACUAUAUGCUUGUUGUAUUUUAUUUGAUGAAAUAAAAUAAUAGACAUUUCAGAGAACCAUCCUAAUGUUGGAUUAAUCAAAUUAUGUUGAAUUAUAAAAGCCAGAGUUAAACUUUAGUUAUAAUUUAAUUGCAGAUGAUUAUAUAUCAUUUAAGUCUUUUAAGCUUUUGUAAUUUUAGAAAAACAUAAGGCAAGUGAGCAACUAAUCAAAUCCUGGCAUGCGUCACAUUUGUACUAAACAAGUUAUAACUAAUAAAGAAUCAUUUAAGUUGAUAUUAAUAAAGUUAGCAUUUAUUUAUUUAUUUAUAAAAGAUCAAAAUUAUAAACGUAAGUUACUUUUAAUCCAAAAAGACAUUAGAUAAAUAUUAAACAAAUUAAUUAUAUAUUUUAUGUAUAACUAAAAGAAUUAUAAUAAUUAAAUAUUUAAGUUAACAUUAAUCAAGUUAAUAUUAGAUUAUAAAAAAACCAAAGUAUAAACCUAAAUUGUUUUUUUAUUAAUUAAAAAGGACACUCAGUAAAUAUUAAUUAAAUUAAUUGUAUUAAAAAACAUGAGACAUGGAAACAGCGUCGCUAACAAUUCACCACACUCGCAAAGCAAUAAAAUGGAAUUACAACCUAGAGUUUUAAUUAUAAAGUUAUUAAAUAAAUAUUAAACAAAAUGAAUUCAAAGUAAUAAAUUCAUAAUUGAAUGACAGAAAAAAGGUUAGCACUACUAGAUAGAGCGCGACGUUACGAAACUAACCCAAUGGAAACGGAACGAAACGAAGUUAGAAUGACUAAAUGACUAAGGAUUAACGAUAGUGGCAAACUUUUAAAUAAGUUGUCUUUCUGCCUUUGGUUCAGUUGACGUGAACUUGGUUGCCCUGGUGGCCAUGGCGCUGCUGCUGCUGCAUAACGUAGGAAAGGGGAGGGACUUGGCCAGCCGGAAGCACGCUGCAGUGGUGCAAGGCCACGGCGAUGCGGGCCCGCACGUGGGGUCAGCCGGCCUGCACAGCCACGGAGGGCGCUGCUGGGUGCCCUGCUCGAUCUCGAGCAGGCGCGUGCACACGAGGGCGGCUGUAACACCAAAAAAUUUGUUUUUCAAUUAAUAGGAUUUAAUGAAAAUUAUUUAAGCAAUUUUUGUGGACAUUUAAUCUAGUAAAUAAAAUAUUUUUGGUCAAAAUUAAAAUUUAUCCUAAGUUUAGGAACUUGUUUAUGCAUUCAUGCUGAAGAAUAUGUUAUUUUGUAUUGUUUGCCUCUCGCUUGAAUUUAUUUGCAUUCAAGAUUUUAUUUGGAAAAGGUUUUUGGAAAAGAAAACAGAAAAGAAAAAAAAAGAAAACCCCAGCCGAACCCCCCCUCUCACCCUCGCACUCGGCCCGCUAGCGGCCAGCCAGCCCCCUGGCUUCCCUUCCCGCCCCGGCCCAGCUCGUUGCGGCCCAAGCCGAGCAGUGGGCGCGCCCCUCUCCUUGGCCCACUGACAGCUGGAGCCCAUAUGUCAGCCGCGCCCCUUUCCCCUUCCUCCAGCCCGGUUUCGAACCGGACUCGACUGGGACGCACACGCACCCGAUCCCGCGAUACCUGGGAUUUCUUGACAAAUCGUGUGCACCGAGCCCCUAUAAAGGUUGCUAGACUCGCCCCGCACCCCGUUUUUCCACCGUGCCGCGAGAUCAAGCCCUAGGUGCCCUAUGCAAGCUCGGGUUUGGAUCUAGCCUACGCCGAGCCAUCCCAACGCGCAGCGCGAGCUCCUCGCUUCCUCUCGGCCCUUGCAAAGUGCCUAGGUGAGUCCGCGGUGAGCUCCUCGUUCUACCGAGGUUUUUUUUUGGCGUUUUGGUGCUCGGGAGCGAGAGAACCGAGAACUCCGGCGAGCACUCCCAUGCCGCCGCCGCGGGGAGGCUCAACUCUGGCCGGCCGCCGCCGUUAACCCCGUGGACGGAAUCCUGGCCGUCGGAUAGGGAAGUUAGAUGAAGAUUUUCCCAAUAGUAUAGUUAGGAUGAAUAAUUCCAAUAGUAUAGUUAGAUAAUCCCAAUAUUUUAUUUCUAGGGUUCAUCUAGGACACUGCUUCCUCAUCCGCCACCGCAGCCGCCUACCUCUCGCCGGCAGUCCUAACCUUGCGCUAGGACUUCUAGGUCGCCAUCGCCAAGGCCAUCGAUCUACGCUCUAGGCCAACAGCGGUGGUGACAAUUUGUGUGUUCCCCAGCCUCCACCGCCACUACCACUCAUAUUGCUGCUAUUUGCUUAGAGUUCUUAGAUUGGCUUGUCCUUUCGCUAGGAGUUAUCGGUGGCUACUGCCUACUACACUCAGCCUCUCAGACGUUUGUAAGGAAAAUGGACCAUUGGCCCAUUUACUAUGGAUUUUGGUGUUUGAUGAUCAACAUGACCAAAUUGGACUAAUAUGUUUGAAAGUGUGUUGGGUAUUUUAAACGCAAAUGGAAAAAUCUGCAAGCGCAGGGAUACCAAUGUAGCUUUCACCCUGGAGUAUUCUAGAGUAUCGAUUUUCCACAGGGAACGUGAAUGUACUAAUUAAGAUUCAAGAUCGCCCAAAGAUAACUAUAUAAUUAUUUUUGGUGGGAAGAGAGGAAGUUUCCUGAGAGUUCUCUAGUUGAUCUAAGAAUCAAGAAUUACUUCAAAGAUUUUUUAUUUCGGGACAUCAGAACACUAACCACAGAAAGAGAUGAGAAGGGGGCUAGGAAGCUCUGACUUUGGUCCUACAAACACCGAUUCGAACGAGGUGGAAUACGUCGACCGUUAGGGCUGUCACUACCCUAGGGCUGCCACAACAAUCCGCAGGAUUAGGUGUAAUUCUAGGUAAUUGGAAGACUAAACACCACGUCUAAUCUAUUAAUUACUACUCUAGCGUUUCAAAGACUAGAGCACCUGAUGCAAGCGGAAAUCCAAUAAAUAACUUGAAUGUAAAUAAAAGUAAUUAAAGAACUCAAGAAUUAUGAAUUGAAGAACUUGGAGAACGAUGAAGAACGAACCAACUGCUGCAAAAGUACAAUAUUGAGGAAGAUCCGACAGAUCCGGCUCCUCCUCCGCUCUCCUCUUCUCUCUCCCUAUUUUCUAGAUUACAAAUAGAACUAACUAGAACUAGAUGAACUAAAACUAGAACUAGAACUAGAACUAGAUGAACUAGAGAGAUCCUCUCUACUUGGAUGAAUAAUUGAAACCCUAGCUUUUAUUCUGUAGAAGAGAUAUCUCCUCUAGGGGCCAGGGGGCCUGCUUAUAUAGCCCUUCCAAAUGAACGUGGGCCGUCGGAUCAAACCGACCUUAAUCGUAUGGUUCUCCUUGAUUCUCAAAGGCGGUGGAGCACGAUCCGCGAGACCUGCCCUGAUUGGUCACCAGGGCAGGGCGGGCGCCCAGCCCCCGGGCCCGCUCGGCCUCCCGCUCAUUCCUGUGGCUUCUGGACUCUUCUAGAUGUUGGAUAAUUUCGGUGCAUGUUAAUAUCUCUAUGUAAACCCAACGUGUGGACCUUUCCUCCAUAUUUCCCGAUAACCCCCUGCAGAAAUAGACAAACACUCAAACUCGUGGAAUUCUGUUAGAUGAAACCCUAAUUUUGGAUGUUGGUUGCACAUAGGUCCUUUUCCAUGAUUAGUUGACGGUUAAAUGUGAGCAUUAAGGACCGUCAACAAGCUCCCCCAGGCUUAACCUAUGGUCGUCCCUAAGCAAAGAUGGACUCAAGAGUUUUUGCAGUGGUUUCAUGCCUUAAAGCUACACAUGCGUUCAAACAAGAUCUCAUCUUUGGGUUAGGGUAAACUAUUAAGAUUUAAACUUACUCAUUUUUCCUUCCACCAUGGGGCUUGCAACCGUCACUUGUGUCUUGAGCAGUUAAAAGAUAGAACGGUCUAGUCAAGCGCCAUGUCUCUUGUUCUUCGAUUAACUAUAGCUCUGGAGUUUUUGCAGAUUUUCAAAUAAAACUCAGAGAUUCCUUGUAUGACUCUCUCUAGUCUCUCUUUUGUGGUAUUUCUGGAUCCUUACCAAGGCAGUAAUGGAGUAUGCCUUCUCUCAAAGUAUGUGGUAUUUUUGGUAUGAGGCAUAGUGGCAUUGCCUUCUCUCUCACCCUACUCUAAUAAGGUUUUGACAUCUGGAGCUCAUAGGUGGGAGACAGCUAAUACAUACUUACAAGACAUUUAUUGCAUAGUCAAACCAUGGAUCGAGAAGAACAAGUCAAUAAGUCAAAUCAAGAUGUGCAUGUGUGGAGAAUGAAUGGUGAUAAUGGUGAAAAUAAUGGUGAAAGUCUAAUUCUACUGCUCUUUUGAGGGGGUACAUACCUUCCUUGCACUUGAGGCUUUUGAGGGGAAUGAGAUGCUCUAUAUUUUUAUUUUUCUUUUCUCUCAGGUGGGUAUCUUGUACCCCUAAUUCUACUGUCGGACACUUGUCUAUUUUUACCUCUCGUCUCACUUUUUCUCUUUUUUUCGAGGUUUCGGGCACUUGCCCCUUUUUAUUUCCUCAUAUUCACUUUUUUUCAGAGCACUCACCCUCCUGGAAUAAUGUAGUAAGUGGUAGUAACCAAAAUAUCUCGAGCAUUUAUUUCACGGGGAAUAACAGGGAUAGGAUAAUGUUUUUGGCUAUUCUCUCUUAGAUAGGAGUAGAAUAAUUUUGGGUGAAUCUGGAUAUGGAAAUGAGUGGAUGUAUGUGGAUGCGUACUUCCGGAGUAGAAGCAGCAUGUAUGAGUGAACGUGCAAGUGAAUCUUGAUUUUAACCACAUAAGAAGCUCCUAAUGGUCUACACAGCUUGACCACACUCAAUGCUCAUAAGCAGUAAAAAGUAAAUGUAUGGUUCAUAGUCUAAUAAACAUGUAUAUAUGGCUGUGGUAGGAUUUUAAACUCUCAUCAUACAGGAACUCAUCAUGCAACAUUUUAAAGAUUUUCAAAGAAAAAAUUCUCUAGAAUUCUAGCAUCUCUAGGAACAGAUAAACAACAGCUUAAUCUUCCUAUAUCAUAUCCGUUAAUGACUUAGACUUUAGAUCAAGUACUCUUCUCACAAGUUCAGGUUUAGAGCAAAUCUUAAUUAAUAACCGUCAUGCCUAAACUUGAGAGAGAUUUCAAUUUUGCGAACUAGUCAUGGCAGAGCAACUAUUCAUCAUUUCCAUGUGAGAGCUUAUCAUGAGGGUUCAUAUCAAACUUUAUUUAUUUAUUUAGCAAACUAAGCAAAGAUAUAUAUAAGCACAAAAUCUUUAUUUGGGUUUUUAUGAUUAUGCAUCUUUUUAUUGUUUGAGUAAAGUAUAAACGCAAAUAUAAACACUUAGCUAGAUAAAUGGGGGUGCUCUCCCCCAAGCUGGAUUUUGACGUAAUUUCUUCUGAUAUAGCUAGCAGGUGGCGGAGGUGUAUUUGAAUGUCGGCAGCACCCUGACAACGAUUAGGAUGUCCUCCGUCUGCUAGUCUUCUUUGAUCAUUGAAUUCUGUGAAGCUCAAAUAGACAACAAAGCUUUGUGGAACUAGUUAACAUAAAUAUCUAGCCUUUAUCAUGUUGAGCCUCCUCUUAUAAAUAUUACUCUCUUUGGUAGGAUCAUAAAUUUAUUUUUAUAUUUUAAUUUUUAUAGGACAGGAAUAUAUUUAUUUUAUUUUUACGCCACCAUAGUGAAUGUACUUAUGGGUUUUAUGCCAUGAGCAUACUCACAUGGGGCUUACUAUUUUUAACAUUUUUAUUUUCUUUUCAAGAUAGCAUGAUUAACUAACAAGCCAUUUAAUAAAAGUAAAUAAUUUAGGGGAAAAGGGAAUGCUGAAAGGAUAAAUAUGGAUAACUAUCGAUUUUACCUUUGGGCGAGGGUUCAAUGUUUUAAGUCUUCUGAACAAGACUUCUCGCCGUGUUCAUUCUUUAGGUGCAUCAUUUGAUUUAGGUGUGGACCUUGACGUCUGCACCUCUUGAUACGGUGUCACCCAUGUUCUUCGUUUGCCCAGCAGUUCGAAGUGCGGCGUUGGUAGCAUCCUGCUCAGUGUGUUUGUGCUCGUAGAUCUAGGUUCUUCACUUGGUGGAGUCUGAGAGUUGUAAAACUCCUCCAUAUUUUGCUCGAAGUAUACCUGCUCAUAGAGACAAGGCAGAGAUCAAGUGUAUGGGCCCCGUUGGUGGAAAACACCAACAGAACCAUAAGUGUAUUUGUUCUUCUCUAACCUUAAGCAUAGUGAGCAAGACAAAGUUGAUGGAUAAUAAGAUCAUGAGUGUAGCAUUUAAAACAUUUGUCAGAUCAGAUCGCUCAACCUAAUGGAAAGAUAAUCUAUCUAUACUUAUAUUUUUUCAUAUAUCUUCCAAAGAUUGCGUGUGCAAUAUUUUAGCUCAUAUGAUUAGGAGUGUGGGAUCACAAAGGUGGUAGGACAAAACAUACUGAAUCGAUUGGGUUGGUUAAUCUAGAGUUGUAAAUCAUACACGUUUGUCUCUUUUAUUAAUGUGAACGCUAGAACCAAGGAGAAGCUUAUAAAAGUGAUAGUCAAGUAUCUUAAGAUGUUAGCUUACUCGAAGAGUGAUGGUACAGUAUCACCUUGUGGAAGCUUUUCUUUCUUAGCGAUUGUGCAUUGUGUUUGUGGCACCCUCCAUGGAUCAUCUCUUGUGAGCUAUGCCUUCCUUGUGUAAAUUGUUAACCUUCAUGUCUCUCUCUCUUUGUCUCUAAUGUGAGUUUAUCUCAGGACUUCCUAGCUCGAUAUUGAAUGUUUUCCUGCAGGGGUUAGUCGAACAAAAUAUCCAAUAUCUACUAUAGCAUACUAUCGGCUCAAAAAUCAACCUAGACACCAUGUCUAAUUUGAUUUAGGAGAGCAUUUUAACCUAAGCACCAUGCUUAAUUUAAAAUCCCUUGGAAGUAAGAUCAUCUUUCCUAAACUAAGCACCAUACUUAAUUAAGAGAUAAAUGAAACUACUCCAAACCUAGUCAUAUACUAAAGCAAAUAAAGGUAGCAUGAGAGCAUUUAUAGAGAUCUACUCAAGUGGAGAUGAAGUAGUGUGAUUAGUAUUUAACAAAUUGAGCUUGUCUCAAAGGUAGGGACAACCAACAUAGCAACAUGGCAAAGGAUGUUUUUAUGUAAAGUACUCCCCCAAGCUUGAAUUUUGCAAAAUUCAAGUUUGGAUGAAUUUAAUUCAAUGUUGUAUGAUGAUUGGUUGGACAUACCUUGUGCUUGUCAUUCAUCCGAUCUUCUUGCUCUAAUCCUGGAAAGGUUAGUGACAAGAAUACCCAAACGAUUUUUUUACCAUUAUCCUUAUGUGCUCAAUACACAAGGUAAUGCUGCAAAUAAUUAAAAGCUCAUGUUACGAUCUGAUCAGUGCUUAUUUUAGGACAUAAGCUUGUCCUUGGGAAACCAUCAAUUUAUGUCGGCGAAGUGGUUUCCCCUCCAACGCUGACCUAUAUCAACUCAACGAGAUCUGCAAUAUUUAUUAUAAACAUAUGCAUCGACAACCGCCCUUUUAAAGUUUUUAUAAAUAGAAAGGAUGAGGGGGUUGGAGAUCUCAAAUGUGGUGAUGUUGGAGAGACCAAUAGAUUGGGAAGAUGUUGCAUAUGAGCAUGGAGUAAACGAAGUGGCUAUGAAAUAAAUUCCAUGCUCAUUAAUGUUUGGAGUGAAAUCCAUGUGGUAUGGUGAAAAUGGUAAGGUGAGUGUGGUAAAAAAAAGGAAAAGAAAAAGGAUACACGGACGACUUGGUUUGAAACUAGCACAGCUACCGUUCCCCGGCAACGGUGCCAGAAAGCUUGUUGGGUAUUUUAAACACAAACAGAAAAAUCCGCAAGCGCACGGAUACCGAUGUAGCUUUCACCCGGGAGUAUUCCAGAGUAUCGAUUUUCCACAGGGAACGUGAGUGUACUAAUUAAGAUUCAAGAUUGCCCAAAGAUAACUAUAUAAUUAUUUUUGGUCGGAAGAGAGGAAGUUUCGUGAGAGUUCUCUAGUUCAUCUAAGAAUCAAGAAUUACUUCAAAGAUUAUUUAUUUCGGGACAUCAGAACACUAACCACAGAAAGAGAUGAGAAGGGGGCUAGGAAGCUCUGACUUUGGUCCAACAAACACCAAUUCGAACGAGGUGGAAUACGUCGACCGUUAGGGCUGUCACUACCGUAGGGCUACCACAACAAUCCGCAGGAUUGGGUGUAAUUCUAGGUAAUUGGAAGACUAAACACCACAUCUAAUCUAUUAAUUACUACUCUAGCGUUUCAAAGACUAGAGCACCUAAUGCAAGCGAGAAUCCAAUAAAUAACUUGAAUAUAAAUAAAAGUAAUUAAAAAACUCAGGAAUUAUGAAUUGAAGAACUUGGAGAACGAUGAAGAACGAACCAGUUGCUGCAAAAGUACAAUGUUGAGGAAGAUCCGACAGAUCCGGCUCCUCCUCCGCUCUCCUCUUCUCUCUCCCUAUUCUCUAGAUUACAAAUAGAACUAACUAGAACUAGAUGAACUAGAACUAGAACUAGAUGAACUAGAGGGAUCCUCUCUACUUGGAUGAAUAAUGGAAACGCUAGCUUUGAUUCUGUAGAAGAAAUAUCUCCUCUAGGGGCCAGGGGGCCUGCUUAUAUAGCCCUUCCAAAUGAACAUGGGCCGUCGGAUCAAACCGACCUUAAUCGAAUGGUUCUCCUUGAUCCACAAAGGCGGUGGAGCAUGAUCCGCGAGACCUGCCCUGAUUGGUCACCAGGGCAGGGCGGGCGCCCAGCCCACGGGCCCGCUCGGCCUCCCGCUCAUUCUCGUGGCUUCUGGACUAUUCUAGAUGUUGGAUAAUUUUGGUGCAUGUUAAUAUCUCUAUGUAAACCCAAUGUGUGGACCUUUCCUCCAUAUUUCCUGAUAACCCCCUACAUAAAUAGACAAACACUGUAACUCGUGGAAUUCUGUGAGAUGAAACCCUAAUUUUGGAUGUUGGUUGCACAUAGGUCCUUUUCCUUGAUUAGUUGACGGUUAAAUGUGAGCAUUAAGGACCGUCAACAAGCUCCCCCAAGCUUAACCUAUGCUCGUCCCUGAGCAAGGAUGGACUCAAGAGUUUCUGCAGUGGUUUCAUGCCUUAAAGGUACACAUGCGUUCAAACAAGAUCUCAUCUCUGGGUUAGGGUAAACUAUUAAGAUUUAAACUUACUCAUUUUUCCUUCCACCAUGGGGCUUGCAACCGUCACUUGUGUCUUGAGCAGUUAAAAGAUAGAACGGUCUAGUCAAGCGCCAUGUAUCUUGUUCUUCGAUUAACUAUAGCUCUGGAGUUUUUGUAGAUUUUCAAAUAAAACUCAGAGAUUCCUUGUAUGACUCUCUCUAGUCUCUCUUUUGUGGUAUUUCUGGAUCCUUACCAAGGCAGUAAUGUAGUAUGCCUUCUCUCAAAGUAUGUGGUAUUUUUGGUAUGAGGCAUAGUGGCAUUGCCUUCACUCUCACCCUACUCAAAUAAGGUUUUGAUAUCUGGAGCUCAUAGGUGGGAGACAGCUAAUACAUACUUACAAGACAUUUAUUGCAUAGUAAAACCAUGGAUCCAGAAGAACAAGUCAAUAAGUCAAAUCAAGAUGUGCAUGUGUGGAGAAUGAAUGGUGAUAAUGGUGAAAAUAAUGGUGAAAGUCUAAUUCUACUGCUCUUUUGAGGGUGUACAUACCUUCCUUGCACUUCGACAAAGGUGAUGUGGUGAUCCAAUGAUCAAACCUCGAGUAAGACCAUAGAAGCACUAGAGAAGACCCAAGAAGUCAAGAAAAUUCGAAGCACAAAGUUUGGAACCAAGCUAAAUGCAAGAUCACCAAGAAAAAUCUUGGCAAAGGUGACCAGACGCGAGCCUAAAGGACCAAACAUGUCUGAUCAGCUGCUCGACAACUGCAGGCAUCAAUAGGGCUACCAAAUGCUGAGGGACAGGGUGACCGGACACACAAACUUCAUUGUUCAUUGUCAGGCCAACUUCACCAGCAUGACUGGACACAACAGCAGUAGAUGACCGGAUGCAAUGAGCAAUGUCCAAUUGCUACACAAAGAGGUUUCAAAGCAUCACUGACGUGGACACGUCGGACCGAUUGAGACCGAACUUGGUGCUGAGUUUGAUCGACGCACGUGCUCUAAUGGUUGGUAGGACCGGACAUGUCCGAUCAGGGCAUGACCCAUGUCUGGUCACUAGCAUUAUGUUGGGAUUCUGUCCCCAAUGGCUAGCUUCAACUUGGGGCUUAUAAAUAUAACCCCAACCAACCAUUUGAGAUGUGGAGAGCAGAGAAAACAUACCAAGGGUAUUGAUACACCAUUUUAGUGAUCUCCACUUGCAUAGUGCUUUACUUCAAAGCAAAACAAGCUUUAAUUCCAAAAAGAAGAACAUGCUUUUUAGUAAAAGUUUUAUUUAGAUAGAAUUUUAAUUGCUUAACAAUUGAUCAUAUGAAAAUUCACCAAAAAACUUAAUCCCUAACAUGGUCAUUAUUUUAUGAAUCAUGUUUAAACAUGACAUGCAAUAUGGAAAUGCUCGUGGCAUCAAUUCGUGAAAUAAAUAAAACAUGACAUAUGCACUAUGAAUAUGCUAAAAUUAAACCAUGAAAUGCAUCUUAUGCCUUAAUGCAUAAUGAUAAUGCAUGGUCAUUACUUAAUUAGAUUUUAAUUAGUAUAGUACCACUAGGGGUGUUACAGUAGAAGACCCAAAAGAUCAAGCAAAGUUCCAGUGCAAAGGAUGGAACCAAGAUAGAUGUUGGCAUUUAUUAACAUAAUGACCAAGUGAGGAGGUUUUAAGUCCAUCACUAUUAAUGUGACACCAUAAAUACUUGGUCGGCAUCUCUAAACAUCAUUACUAGAGAAUGUAGUUCCCUAACAUCAACCCCAGUACUUUAGCUAGGGGUUUACAGUUGCAACGUAAUGACACUUAGAAAUGCCUAUUACUAGUUCUAACUGUCACUACUUAGGAAAGUAUUCCCUCGGCAUUGGUGCUAAUAAUGCUUACUCGGAUCUACAGUCGCUGGGCAAUGACGCUUAGAAAAGCCUAUUGACAUUCUCUAGCACCAUUACUAAGAUUGAGUUAAUCUUAGAAAUGCCACCAAGGAACACCAACUAUGACAAUCCUUAAUGAUUACAAACAAAAUCCUUAAGCGUAUGAAACUAUCAUUAUAGCAUUUCACCUAGGAGUAUUCCAAGGUAUAGUUAUUUAUAUUUUUCUAAAGGAGGGGAGGUGUAAGGUAUCUAGAAUUGGUAUGAAUAUGAUGACAUACUUGCAUGAUGGACAUAGCAUAUUACAUGGGUAAAAAUGGUAUAUCACGGAUAGUGGACACACAUCUAGGCCUACCUCAAGGAUAAAAGGGAAACAAAGAACAAUUAGUGAUCAUACAAGUUAUAUGAUUAGACCUAGGGCUAAGUGUAAAAUGGGUCGGAAGGCCAUCGAGUACUAGUCUGCUAGCAUCCUCAUGUGACGAUUUAGAUUCAUAUUGUCUAACCAUGGAAAGGGAAAUGCGUUCACCUAUUCCUCCAUACCCAAGCACCAUGCUUGCAUAUGCAAAAACUACUCAAGUUCCUCUGGGUCCUUGACGAUAUGGAUUGAAUCGUAAAGGACUUAGGCACACGUGAAGGCAUGAUGAACUACCACCUCAACUUAGCUGUAGUUCUAAUCAUACAAGUCAGAAUGAUUAAGCAUAAAGUAGAACAUGUUAGAUCAUAACACACAAACUAUAUGCUAGUUCAUAUACCAUGAUUAUAACAUGAAGACAACUAUACUCUAGUUCAUAUGUAAAUAUGAAAGAUAUGAGAACAUGAACUUGGAAGAACUCUUCAUAGUAGUAUGCAUACCAAGUAGCACUUCUUCCAAGAAGACAAGCUCUCCUAGUAGCUUAGCCUUGCUCUCAAACUAAAACAAACUAUGAAAAGAGUACAAGUGAGAGGUGUGAGGUAGAGGCUCAAAAUGCAGUGUGUGCCUUGGAGGGGAGCUCCACCCUCUUCUCAUAGAGUGGCUUCAUGUUGGUUUAGCUUGAGGAAAUAUGGGAACCACUACCAAUUGAUGUUGCAUGCCUCCAUGCUAUUACCUCUAGAGUAAGUUGGGCCUGACAGGUGGCAUAGGGGUGCAGCCGCACCUAGGGCGCGUCCACACCCUGGUGGGCCCCCUUGCCACUGCCUUGCUCUGGUCAGCUGUUGGGUGGGCCUAGGAUCCUCCCACAUUGGUGCUUCAGCCCAGAUGUUUCAUGAAGAUGGGCUUCUCCAUUUUUUCCUUUGCAUAAUUUUGAGAUACACUUUCUACUUUUGUGCUUCUUCAUUAUUUUGUGUAUUUUCACCUAUUUUUUGAGAUUGAUGUGCAAAACAUGUUUUCUCACAAUAUAAGUGGAACUAAGUCAAUAAUAUAUGCAUAUGUAUGAAUGUUUGCUUAUUCCUUCUAUUUUGGAUAUAAAUUGGUAGUUGUAAAUGUGAAAUAGUGACUGCCAACAAUGAAUGCAAAGGCCAUGAAGAAACAAAGUGAACAGAGCAAAACAAGAGCUUUGGACCCUGAUGAAUAGGGAUCCAAAACAUGGACCUAGAGUCUGGUUGCUAACCCUAGUUUUAGGGAAUUCUAGACCCGGUGAACAGUGACCAACCUGACCAUCAAGUGCCUUAGUCUGGAGGUGCCUAGAGAGGUUCAAAAGAGCGUGAUUGAGUCUAAAAUGAGUCUAGCCAGAGGAUCUAGACCAUUGAUAAUCCGAUCUAGAGGGUGGCCCACAUGUUAGCCUUAGCGCAUGCAUAACAAUCAAUUCAAAUGGUUGCAUGUUAGUGAGUGUUGGGGAGGAACUAGACCUAGGAAGCAUGGUUUGGACCAAGCCCCAUACUUUGGUCUAGUGGUGCACAUAAAUGACCUCCAAAGGGACCACGGGUCUAUUUGCUUGGGCCUUAUAAAUGCCCCCAUGGCUAGCCAAACCAAAGGUGUGAGAGCCCAAAUAAUUGGUAUAUGAGUUGAGACUCAAUUUUAGUUGCUUUAGUGACCAAAGUUCUUAGUGAAAUAUUUGGUGAUUAGCGUAGGUGCUUUACAAAGUUCUUAGGUUAGUUAGAUCACCUGUUAUGUGCUUGCUAUACAUUUAGGCCUAGUGUUUAGUGAGGUUUGCAUACCUCUUACUACUAGAUGCUUGUGCACACCAUUGUUGUACUUGGUGGGGCCUGUAAGUGUUGAGAGACCACACCAAUCACACUUGUGGUGUGGCCACCACCAUGUACAUAGGUAACAAGGCCCAUGAUUUUUUGAAUAGAGGCUUGAUAGUGAAGACAGUGAGGAGCAGUCUAGGAGGCACAAUGGGGACCCACUUGCACGUGGGGAAGGCCUAGAGCUAUGCACGGAGCUACAUGACUGAGAGCUUGGCCUUUGUGAGAGAUUCCUUGCAAGGGGCACCAACAAGGACUACGGAGAAGCUUGCACACUUCUUGCUACCUCGAUAAAAAUACCAGAGUCAUCAAUGGGAGUUUGCAUCUCUACCUCACUCUUAGCUUCCACAUUUAUAUUGCUACCUUGGUUGCAUGCUUAUUUUUUGUAGCUUAGUUGAUAGGAUUAGAACCAAGGUUGCAUUAAUCUUUUGCGCUAGAGAUAGCAACACACUAGCAAAAGCUUAGUUGCACAAUUAGAUAGUUUAUUUAUUUGCAACAGUUUUGCUAAGGUGGAAUUUAGAGGCCAUAAUCAGAAGUAGAAUUAUAAGUUGCCUAAUUCACAUCCCCUCUUAGGUGUCAUGUUCCUUACACUUUUAAACAAGGUUCAGCCAUUUGCCUGCAUCCACAUGGCAUGACUAUGGCAGCUUGUCCGCAUAAAGAACAGGUACAUCCGAGUGCUCUUAUCACUUUGUCACCAUCCAAGCCAGCCAUCCCUUCAUUACAACAGGGCUGCAAUUUUCCAUUGAAAUAGGAUUGGGCUAACCAACUAAAAAUCUAUCCUAACCCCUAAUUCAUCUCAAAUGCAUUUGUAACGAAAUCAUAAACAUUUAUAUAAAUAAGGAUCUUGCACAUACAAAAAAUUCAUUCUACCAUUCCAUUAAAAUAUUAAUUGUGCUUCCCUUAGCAAAAAAGAUAAAAUCAUGAAAAUACAUAACACCCCAAAUUUAUCAUGUAGGAAACGUAUAUGGUAUUUUACACAACGAGAGAUGAAGAGGUUCUAAAAAAAAUAAAAUAUCUAUAUAUCACCUUCACCUUUACAAGGCUCACUAAAUUAUUUAAGGUUUACCUACCAUAUUGAUGCAAAUACAAGUAUAACUUUAUUGGCUUUGUGUAUUUGAAGCUUUAUUCAUUAAAUAAAACUUAAACAUAGAUAGAUAGACAACGCAACAAAACAUACAAAGCUUAUGAUAGAUUAUAAUAGUCCUAGAAACAAUAAGAUGAAGUCACCAACAACUUUGGUUCUACAAUAUAUUACUCAAUGCAAUAGAAAACAACAUAGUACAACCACCUACAACUAUAGAGUGAUUUAUUCAUCCAAAAUGUUCAUGACAACUUAAGCAACAUCCUUGCUAAAUCCACUUCAAGACUCAUCACCAUAGUCAUGAUUAGGGAUGUCAAUGUCGACCCCAAAUAGCCGCAAAUGCUUUUCUUCCCUUACAAUUUCAGGUGUUACCAAUUUAGGAAUUUUUGUUAGCUGUGUCAUCAGAUUAGUUGCAGGCAUCAACUCCCUAGAUCCAAAGGACAAAGGCUUCAACACUGGAACAAUUCCAUGGCUUGUACCAAAGCCAAGGCUCUGAUGGAACUGGUCAUUAAUCAUCAAGCUAGAUGGAGAGAAGAUCGGACUUGACACGUGAUCUGGAAGAGACAUGGUUCUAGUAUUGGGCUUGAUAUGAAUAAACAUGUGGUUUGGGCUUGUAGUCUUACUAGCAUCACGGUAGAAGGACAAAACAUCACCUUUCUUGAGAUUCUUGUCCUUGAUAUAGACAUGCCAACCCUUGGUUAGGAAAUACUUCUUGCUUUUGUUGCAAAGGCAAAAGCGGAAGCGCCAUAUUAACCCUGUGGAACAAUCCUCAAAAUUGAGGAAAUCAUCAUCUCCACCACUAUUGCCCUCUGAAAUCUUGGGAAAGCACCCCUCCGCACAUUGCCUUGGAAUCAGUACACGAUUCAUUUUACCAACAUCAGUUGUGGUUAGAAUCUUGCCAAACAAGUACUCCAUAUCAAUGACCUUCCUACCCCUUUUUCUUUCCCCACGUAGAUCUAAUGCUCCAUAAGCAUUGCUCAUGCCAGAUUGGAAAACUGGUGUAGAUUUGGAUGAAUAGUGAGAGACAUACCGAGCAGGCAAAAGGGGAUUCACCAACGGGAAGGGAUUCAGACAUGGUGGGGCGUUCCCCAUCUGCACCUCCAUCUCCCUUGAAAUUGUUCUUGCCGAGAAAGCCAUAGAUCUACAAUAGAGGUGUUGUGUAGAAAGAACUGGUGAGGUAGGCGGAGGGACAAAUGUGGAGAGUGAUUAAUGGAAUUAAGUAGUAGGUAGAUUAUAUUUCUUUAUAUGCCUAUUUACUAUGCUCAUUAAUUUUUCUUUUGGCAGCAUACAAGAAACUGGCUUUGGUGAUUUGGUAGCAUAGUGGAAUCUUUGACCGUCCCAUGAGAAGAGUAGGGUGCCAUUUUUACCGCUUGUCGUAUUUGCAUGCAUUAAUCAGUCCCUAUAUUUUUAUACUAUUUUCACUAUCACUACUACACUCAGAGCUUUCUCAACCAUGUCGUAACCCCCACCAUAAUCCAAUUUCAACCACGGUAGUAAGCUCGGCAUCUGGGACUGAUUGUGGUGUACAUUAACACUGUUGUAUUUGCUUAUGCUCCAUCCAUGAUUAAGUCCUUACUCCAUCGCAUUGGAGGUCAUGCCCAAUGCACAGCUGCACGUGAAAGGUCCUAAUGGCUAGAGAGGGUGAUAGCUAAUAAAAAUUAUACAACAACACUAAAGCAACUUGGAUAGACAAUAAGAUGGCAAAGCAAAUGUUGCACUAUCCUACUAAGAGAGCAAGCCAUCUUCCAACAAUUCUAAUCAAUUAAGAUCACUAAGCACUCAAGAGCUAAGUCUCUACUCUACACUAGUUAAGCUAGCCUAGAACAUAGAGCAACUAGAAAACUAAACUACGCAACUAGUUACAACUACCACAAGCUAGGUACACAAAGUAAUGUAAGAGAGUGGUAGAGUGAUAUACCAUAGUGUAGAGGAAUGAUCCAAUCAAUUACAAUAUGAGUGAAUACCAAAGAAGACCAAUCACAUCAGAAUCAAUUAUUGACAAUGAUUUUUUACCGAGGUUCAUUUGCUUGCUGGCAAGCUAGUCCACAUUGUGGCAACUCACUCGCUUGGAGGUCUAUAGUCUUAAUGGCCUCACACCCCAACCGUCACUAGGGCACCAACCAACCAGUACAAGAUGAGGGUCAUACAAGCCAUGAGCAAUCCACUAGAGAUGCUUUUUGUGAACUCUCAUGGGGAAGGCUCAUGAACAGCAUACAAUCACCAUGAUUGGAGCCAUAGACAAUCACCAACCUCCGCUUGAUGAUCCUCGCUGCACUAAGUCAUCUAGGAGUCAAGAAUCUCCAAGAGUAACAAGUGAAUUGUUGGCAUUUCUUUGCGUCAUCACUAGAUACACACAAGGGUCCAUCCCUAUAAAUGACACCAAAAAUGCUUGUUGGCAUUACUUAGCAACACUCCACAGUUUAGUGAUGUUACUAGUAUUGACCUUGAUAUUUUCUUAUAGUUUUAGAUAUUAAUCCGCUAGCACACGGCGCUAUCAUUGGUAGCAUUUCACCUUGAAAAUAUUUGGGUAUCAUUUAUUUAUAUUUUUUCCAAAGUAAGACUUUGAUUAAGAUUCUCUAGUACGGAUAUGAGGUUGAAUAAUGAUGCGUUGCAAGUAAGCUAUUGUUUAUUACAUGGGUAAGACAGUGAUAUUUAAGAUAGUGGACACACAUGUGGCAUUCCUCAAAGGAUAAAUAGAAACAAAAUAUGAAAAUAAUAGUUCUAAGUGAGCAAGCAUUAAUCUAGUAUAGUCAUAUUAUGAUUAGUAAAUGUUCAUACAAUUUACAUGCUUAAUGUUAGUGUUAAGCAUUAACAGAUCAGGAGGACAUGCAUGUACUAGUCUGCUAGCAACCACCAUGCUAAUUAAGACUCCUACACCCUUGUCAAACGUGGGGAGUACGAAGGGCAGACAGGGCAGUCACCACCUGCCGCCUACCCCUUAACCAUGGAAAGGAACCAUGCUAUCAUCUGCCCCUCCAUACCCAUGCACCAUUCACUCUACUAGUGGAUUGGACUGGAAUGGUUUUAACGGGUUGGAUUGUGCAUGGGAUGGCUUUGGAUUGGGAGAAAUAGUCUUCACGUUCGUCAUGGGCUGGAUAGAUUUGGGGCUACGGGUCCAAUGGACUGGGCUAGUUUGGUUCUAUGUGGUGUCUAGUCCAUGGGUGCACAUAGAUUACAGCCUGUUGACACUUGCUAACACCACUUGAAUACUAGGUUGUCAUCCCCAGCAUGGCACUAGAGUGUACUAAGGUAUUUAUGAAUAUGAAAGCUCUAUAGAAAAUAAUCUAUUCUAUUCAUAAAUGCACAGAUAAAAUACCUCAUUGUAGCAUUUCACCAGGAAAAGUAUUCCGGGUAUCGUUAUUUAUAUUUUGCUUAAGAGAACGGCGAAAGUGAAAACAGGGGUAAAAUCUAUCAAGGCAUAGACUAGAGAUAAACUUGCAAGAACAUGAUUACUAAUGAGGAACUCGUCACACAGUCACUUGCUUUGGCAGGGGGUAAGCCAUAAUAAUAAUAAAGAUAAUGAAAUAUAAGCUCAUGAGUAAAUAACACAUCGAUUAGAAAUAGACUACUCCUCAUAUAUGUAAGGUGACGUCGGAUUAGCUAGAGAAUGGAUUCUGAGUAUCUACUAUCUACUAAGUCACAAUCUACUCUAGUUAUCUACAAGAUCAUAUAUAGCACAAAAGACUCUUUAUUCAUGUAUAAGGAACAUUGCUAAAGUAAAUCAGAACAUAGCAAGACUUACUCCGCAAUACAAAUUCUGCAUGUCCUAUCAACGGAGGGUGGACUAUAUAAGAAUCAACGAAGCUGUCACCAUCGCGAACUACCACACGACCCGGCUAAUAAGAUACAUUUGCAGGUAAAUAAUAUCUAAGCACCACGCCCACAUAUGAUCUACCACUUAGCUUCCUCGAGUCAAGAGCUAAGCGCUUUGCAAACUUAUACAUGAACUCAUUAUCAAUCAUAACUAUAUCAAAUAUAGAACUAGAGCAAACUAAGAACAUAAUAAAUAGAGACAUAAUGCAAUUAGAAUAAAGUAGUAGAGAAAGAUAUGAAAUAAUACCAAUCUUUAUUGAUGAAGAUCUGAAAUCCAUAGCGCUAGGCUCUACUUCUCUAAUUCUAUCUAAUCAAUCCUAUAGAACUUGAAGGAAUUGGGAGUAGCUAGUUCUAAUUCUCUGUGGGAGAGAAAUUCCUAAACCAUAACUUUGAUGGCUUCCUCUGAUAAUGAUUUUUCCUCUCCCCUUGUGGUGGAGAGGCCUUGCUUAUAUAGCCCCCUCAAAUGAAUGUGAGCCGUCGGAUCAAACAGACCUUAAUGGCACGGUUAUUCUUGAAGAUUAGAGGCGGUGGAGCACGAUCCGUGAGACCUGUCCUGAUUGGUCACCAGGGCAGGGCGGGCGCCCUGCCCCCGGGCUUGUUCGGCCUCCCGUUCGUUCCCGUGGCUUCUGGACUCUUCUUGGGUGAGGAAAAUUGCGCGACACAUAAUUAUCUCGUUGUAAACCUGACAUGUGGGCCUUCUCUCCAUAUUUUCUGAUAACCCCCUGCAGAAAUAGACAAACACCAAAGCUCAUGGAAUUCUGUUAGAUAAAACCCUAAUUCUAGGUGUUUGGUGCAUAUUGACCCUUUUCCAUGUUUAGUUGACAGUUGAAUUUAGUACUUAAGGACCAUCAACAAACUCCCCCAAGCUUACCCUUUGCUCGUCCCUGAGCAAACACCUAAACUCAGAUGGAUCAGGAGUUGCUUCGAUGUUUUCUUUCCUGACAGGCACACAUGCUUUCACAUAAAAAUUCUCCCAGAUUAGAGUGAAGUGUCAUGGAGCUUAGUACCUGCACUUAAGUCUUAAGUAAUUGAAAGACAAAAUAAUUAAGUUAAGCACUAUUUCUCCUGUAUAUACUUCACCUUUGUUCUGGAGUUUUGUAUACAUUUUUGAAAAUAAAGCUCAGAGUUCUCAGCUAUGUUUACUCUCAAAUCUCUCUAUAUAUGGUAUUUGUGGAUCCUUACCAAAAAUGUCACUUACCUAUAACUAAGGGAAUGUUUAUGUGAAGCUCAUAGGUGUGAAAAACAGCUCAUACAUAUGUUUUCUAAUCGAGCCAUGGAUCCGAAGGAACUCAACAUGUAAUUAAAUCAAGAUGUGCAUGUAUGGUGGAGUAAAUAAUAGUAAUGGUGAAAUAUAUAAGUGAUGAUAAAACUUACUUCUCAUUGCUCCUCAUAUUGCUAUCUCUUCUCCCCUUGAUCUAUGCUUUGGGAGAACAUGGGCUAUAUUUUCCACUUUUUUUCAGGUGGGUAAUAAAUACCCCUAGCUACUAUCGGACACUUGUCCAUUUUUUCCGCUUAGGUGGGCAUCUUUGUACCCCUAAUUCUACUCCGGACACUUGUCCAUUUUUACCUCUCGUCUCACUCUUUUUCUUUAUUGAGGUUCUGGGCACUUGCCCCUUUUUAUUUCCUCGCAUAUUUUUGCAUAACCCAUGCCUCUUCUGCAUUGAAUCUUUUUGGAGAGAUGGAAUAACAACACUUGGGACAGUAAGUGAUAAUAUUUUUAGCAAUUUUAAUGAAUGGUGGUGGAUGGUGUAGUAGAUGUGUGCAAGUGAAUAUCUUAAUUUAAGCACAUGAAAAAGCUCCUAAGGGUCUACACAGCUCGAUCAAACUCAAUGUGAAUAUAAGUAGCAAAAGAUGUUAUAGCAAGUAUGGCUGUGGUAGGAAUUUUGUCAUGCUUGGAACUCAUCAUGUGAUUUUAAAGUUUUCAAAAUAAAUCUCCAGAAGAACUUAGUGUAGUAGGAACAAGAUAAACAGUAGCUCAAACUUUAUAUCAUGUCCUUUUCUUACCUAGACUUUAGUUUUAGGUUCAUGCUUCCCAUAGAUAUUAAAUUUCAAGUUUUAGAAAUUCUUGGGAGAACUCUAAUAUGAAAGCUAGGUACUUGAAAGUAAGCAAACAGAGCAACUGUUCAUCAUUUCCAUCAGACAUCUUUUUGGUCUUUUUAUUUUUCUAGAGAUUAAUACUUAGCAGAUAAAUAAAGCACACUUGUCUACACACUCUUUUUAUUUUGUUUUCAUGUUUAUAGAAUGCAGUAAAUUAAAGCAAGAAAAAUAUUUGUUGAUGAUUUUUUUUUAAAUAAAUAAAACAGAAAAGAAUAAAUAAGAAGAGCAAAUAAAAACUAACUUGAUAAAACGGGGAGGAACUCCCCAAAGCUGGAUGUGGUUGUCGGUCUUACCCAAUGUUCCAGAAUCGCAUCAUGGUGGUGAUGUUGUCGUUCGUUGUCGUGGUGUCUUGCCUCAGUUCUUGUACUGCAGUGGCGUGGUCCUGGUUCCACUUUUGUUGCUGUUCUAGGAGUCGUCCAUGUUCUGUUUGCAUAUUCUAGAUGUCGAGGAGGGUGUUGUUGGUACGGGUGAAGAAGGCGCCGGCCUCUUGGUAGUAGUCGUUCGUGAAAGCAUAAGAGGCGUCGGAGUAUCGUCCUGCAUCGAAUUGAGGCUGGGGCCUAGACCCUGAAGCUCCAUAUGGAUCAGUGGAGUACCUGCCCGCAUUAAAAGGUGGGUUUGCCCACUGGUGAUCUUGGCCCUCCAGCCACGUCUCCUGUGUUGGCUCCUGCAGCUGAGCAUGUCGAACCCAUGGGUCCCGAAGGACUCGGGGGUUGUAGUCGCAGUAAUGCAAGUGCGCUGCUUCUUCUGGCCCGGGAUCAACUCCAUACCAGGUGCGUUCUUGAUGGGUGGUCGUCCUUUCGGAUGCCACUCGCCGUGGAGCUCUCUGAUUUACCGGUGCCACUGCAAUUUCAAUCAAAUAAUUUUAAACGACAUAGAGGCCAAGGUUCACGAUAGGUAACCGAAUCUUGCCUUUAUUAUCGUAUAACAUAUACAUUACAUUCCCCACUUUUUUCAGCAUCCGAGCUUGCCUAAAUGUGUCAUAGCCAUGAUAAAUUCGUAAUUCGUCAAUGAAUUCCAAUGAUCAGUUUUCUAGCAAGUUAAGACUAGAGGCUAGACGAGUGAUGAGUGAAGUAAAACCGACAGGUCCCUGAAGACUAGGUAUACUAAGCCAAUGAGAAACCAAAAGAGUAACGGGUGAAGUGGGUAUUUUAUUUAUAGCAGCAUAAAGAAGUUGUAAGUCUCCUACUCUUACCUUUCUAAUAUCUUCGCGAUGGAAAAGAUUGUACCCGAGACAUUUGUGGAACAUCCUAAGAGUGGGGUGUUCCAUGUCGCUGGUUCGGGCUUGACUAUAAAACUCAUCUCUAGAUAUCUCUCUCCAGAACUAGUGCCUCUCAAAAUUCGGCAAGUCGGAGUCAAUGUCCAGGAUGCAUCUUGAAGAGAAACCGAGAUGGUUGCUCAAUUCUCUCCAAGACAACAUAAUGUCCUGUUUGAACAUCCGAAAAGCGAUCCCCCCUCAUAAUAUUGCAAAGUACAAAGAAAUUCAAGGGUGAGAAGACGGGAACCCAGCUCAGUUAGGUCCCAAAAAUUUGUCCAUCCCACCAUCUGGAAAAUCAAAUCAAAUUCGGUAUCCAUACCUGUUUCUUGUAGCAGGAUAGGAUCAAGAGUGGGGGUUGUUGACGGUCCUUAAUGCUCACAUUUAACCAUCAACUAAUCAUAGAAAAGGAUCCAAAUGCAACUAACACCUAGACUUAGGGUUUUAUCUGGCAGCAUUCCACGAGUUUUGGUGUUUGUCUAUUUCUGCAGGGGGUUAUCAGGAAAUACGGAGGAAAGGCCCACACGUCGAGUUUACAUAGAGAUAUUAAUGUGCCGCACAAUUUUCUAUCAUCUAGAAGACUCCAGAAGGCACGAGAACGAACGGGAAGCCGAGAGGACUCAGGGACGGGGCGCCCGCCCUCCUUUCCUGGGCGCCCGCCCUCACACAGAGUCCAAUCAGGACUCUCUUUCGGUAUAUUGCUCCACCGACCUAAAGGAUCAACAAUAACCGUUCAAUCAAUGUCGGUUUGAUCCGAUGGCCCAGAGUCAUCUGAAAAGACUAUAUAAUCAAGGCCCCCUGGCCCCUGGAGAUCAUAGCUCUUCUACAGAAUCAAAGUUAGGGUUUCAAUUCUUCAUCCAAGUAGAGAGGAUCCCUCUAGUUCUUCUAGUUCUACCUCUAGUUCAUCUAGUUCUAGUUCUAGUUCUUCUAGUUCUAGUUCUAGUUAGUUCUAGUUGUUAUCUAGAAAAUAGGGAGAGAGAAGAGGAGAGCGGAGGAGGAGCCGGGUCUGUCGGAUCAUCCUCAACAUUAUACUUUUGCAGCAACUGGUUCGUUCUUCAUCGUUCUCCAAGUUCUUCAAUUCAGAAUUCCUGAGUUCCUUAAUUACUUUUAUUUACAUUCAAGUUAUUUAUUGGAUUCCCGCUUGCAUCAAGUGCUCUAGUCUUUAUAACGCUAGAGUAGUAAUUAAUAGAUUAGACGUGGUGUUUAGUCUUGCAAUUACCUGGAAUUGCACCCAAUCGUGCGGAUUGUUGUGGUAGCCCUAGGGUAGUGACAGCCCUAACGGUCGACGUAUUCCACCACGUUCGGAUCGAUGUUUGUAGGACCGUAGUCAGACCUUCCUAGCCCCCUUCUCAUCUCUUUCUGUGGUUAGUGUUCUGAUGUCCCGAAAUAGAUAAUCUUGAAGUAAUUCUUGAUUCUUAGAUCAACUAAAGAACUCUCAGGAAACUUCCUCUCUUCCCACCAAAAAUAAUUAUAUAGUUAUCCUUGGGCGAUCUUGGAUCUUAAUGAGUACACUCACGUUCUCUGUGGAAAAUCGAUACUCUGGAAUACUCCCGGAUGAAGGCUACAUCGGUAUCCGUGCGCUUGCAGAUUUUUCUGUUUGCGUUUAAAAUACCCAACAAGCUUUCUGGCGCCGUUGCUGGGGAACGGUAGCUGUGCUAGUUUUGAACCGAGUCGUCCGUGUAUCCUUUUUCUUUUCUUUUUUUACCACACUCACCUUAUCACUUUCACCAUACCACAUGGAUUUCACUCUAAGCAUUAAUGAGCAUGAAAUUUAUUUCAUAGCCACUUCAUUUACUCCAUGCUCAUAUGCAACAUCUUCACAAUCCAUUGGUCUCUCCAACAUCACCACAUUCGAGAUCUCCAACCCCCUCUUCCUUUCUAUUCAUAAAAACUUUAAAAGGGCGGUUGUCGAUGCAUAUGUCUAUAUUAAAUAUUGCAGAUCUUGUUGAGUUGAUCUUGAUAUAGGUCAGCGUUGGAGGGGAAACCACUUCGCCGACAUAAAUUGAUGGUUUCCCAAGGACAAGCUUAGUGUCCUAAAAUAAGCACUGAUCAGAUCAUAACAUGAGCUUUUAAUUAUUUCCAACAUUACCUUGUGUGUUGAGCAUAUAAGGAUAACUGUAAAAAAAUUCCUUCGGGUAUUCUUGUCACUAACCUUUCCAGGAUUGGAGCAAGAAGAUCGGAUGAAUGACAAGCACAAGGUAUGUCUGACCAAUGAUCAUACAACAUUGAAUUAAAUUCAUCCAAACUUGAAUUUUGCAAAAUUCAAGCUUGGGGGAGUACUUUACAUAAAAACAUCCUUUGCCAUGUUGCUAUGUUGGUUGUCCCUACCUUUGAGACAUGCUCAAUUUGUUAAAUACUAAUCACACUACUUCAUCUCCAAUUGAGUAGAUCUCUAUAAAUGCUUUCAUGCUACCUUUAUUUGCUUUAGUAUAUGUCUAGGUUUGGAGUAGUUUCAUUUAUCUCUUAAUUAAGCAUGGUGCUUAGUUUAGGGCUGAUUAUCUUACUUCCAAGGUAGUUUAAUUUAAGCAUGAUGCUUAGGUUAAAAUGCCCUCCUAAAUCAAAUUAGACAUGGUGUCUAGGUUGAUCUUUGAGCCGAUAGUAUGCUAUAGUAGAUAUUGGAUAUUUUGUUGGACUAACCCCUACAGAAAAACUUUCAAUCUCGACCUGGGAAGUCCUGAGAUAAACUCACAUUGGAGACAAAGAGAGAGACACAUGAAGGUUAACAAUUUACACAAGGAAGACAUAGCUCACAAGAGAUGAUCCAUGGAGGGUGCCACAAACACGAUGCACAACCGCUAACAAAGGAAAGCUUCCGCAAGGUGAUACUGUACCAUCACUCUUCAAGUAAGGUAACAUCUUAAGAUACUUGACUAUCAAUUUUAUAAGCUUCUUCUUGGUUCUGGCGUUCACAUGAAUAAAAGAGACAAACAUGUAUGAUUUACAACUCUAGAUUAACCAACCAAAUUGAUUCAACAUGUUAGUCCUUCCACCUUUGUGAUCCCACAACCCUAAUCAUAUGAGCUAAAAUGUUGCACACGCAAUCUUUGGAAGAUAUAAGCAAAACAUAAAUAUAGAUAGAUUAUCUUUCCAUUAGGUUGAGCGAUCUGAUAUGACAAAUGCUUUAAAUGCUACACUCAUGAUCUUAUUAUCCAUCAACUUUGUCUUGCUCGCUAUGCUUAAGGUUAGAGAAGAACAAAUACACUUUUGGUUCUGUUGGUGUUCUCCACCAACAGAGCCGAUGCACUUGAUCUCUGCCUUGUCUCUAUGAGCAGGUACACUUCGAGCAAAAUAUGAAGGAGUUUUUCAACUCCCAGACUCCACCAAGUGAAGAACCUAGAUCUACGAGCACAAACACACUGGAGAUAUUGGACAUUCAGGCAAUCACUGCCCUGAGAUGCUUGAGGACGUAACUACUGGAGUAACCCCGUUGUGGAAGUAAUUACUGACCUUUUGCCGGUCAAGAGAAGCGAUCUAGGACGCUCCGUCAUCCCGAUAUCCAUCGGCAUGGUGGACUUCCGAGAAGCAAUCUGCGACUUUGGCUCCAGCGUCAACUUUAUGCCCAGGGUACUCUAUGAAAAAUUCUUUACAUAUCCUUUAUUAGAAACAACCAUGUGUUUGCAGCUUGCAGAUCGGACACUAAGUUUCCCAAAGGGAAUAUUGAAGAACCUCUACGUCCGAGUUGGUACCUUAUACGCUCCAGCAGACUUCGUGGUGAUAGAGACUGGUACUGAUGAGAGGGCACCCAUCAUCCUAGGGAGGCCAUUCCUGAACACCUCAGGAGCUGUCAUCUACGCUAGUGCUGCCAAGAUUAGUUUCUACAUUAAGGGGAGGAAGGAGACGUUUUCCUUCAAGAACAAGACUACACAAAUCUCAGGGCAAUCCCGACAUGAAUCAGGGAAGAGGACCAACAGGAGGAACAGAAACAAGCAAAUGUGGAUCGAGUCAGCUAAGAUGGUCACUGCAGUUCAAGGAGGUCAAGAUCGUCGACUUAAGUCACCGUUCCUGACCAAAAAGGAUGACCCAGGUAUACCAAGCAUCCAGUGCUCUAUUAAUGGAUACAACUUCCAGAAGACGCUUUGCAACACCGGGUCAGGCGUCAACAUAAUGGCCGCAGUCACCUAUCAGCUUCUGUUCGGAACCAUGCCCCUAAAACCAACAUACAUUUAGCUUCAGAUAGCAGAUCAAACAUUCCGAAAGGUUGAAGAUUUUUAGGUUAUUGACAUGGGAGAAGACGAGUUCGAUCCACCCAUCAUCCUUGGAAGACCGUUCCUCAGCACCGUUAAAGCAAUCAUCUACAUUGGAACCGAAAAAUUCCACAUGCACUUCCCCUCUGAGAAGGUACGUCGUUGUUUUACUGACCCUAACUAUAUAGUUGAAGACUCUAAGCAGGUCAGGACAAGAAGAAGACGACGCAAUCGCAACCAGAGGAGGUAAAUCAUCAAGGACGGAUGGGCAGACUACGAAGGAGAAGUAAGGUCUGAAGACAUACUGCUUGAACAGAACUGUCCUGAGGAGACCGUAGCACCAAGUCAGGUGUGUAGAGAGAAGAUAGUUAUACAUGAAGAGCAGACGCCGCCGGAACCACAGACUACGCCAUCCAGCAAAUCCCAGGACAACUGAGAAAAUGGAGAGUCCCGUUCGGAGGACUUAAAGACACCGAACGCCUUGCUAAGAGGUAAACUUGGUAGUUAUCUUUUUCCUUUCAAUUAUUUUAGUUAAUCGGGUUCAUAUCAUCUUGAAAAGAAAAUAAAAAUGUUUAAAAUAGUAAGCCCCAUGUGAGUAUGCUCAUGGCAUAAAACCCAUAAGUACAUUCACUGUGGUGGCAUAAAAAUAAAAUAAAUAUAUUUAUGUGCUAUAAAAAUGAGAAUAUAAAAAUAAAUUCAUGAUCCUACUAAAGAGUGUAACAUUUAUUGAGGAGGCUCAACAUGAUAAAGGCUAGAUAUUUAUGCUAACACUUAACUAGUUCCACAAAGCUUUGUUGUCUAUUUGAGCUCCACAGAAUUCAAGGAUCAAAGAAGACUAGCAGACGGAGGAUAUCCUAAUCGCUGUUAGGGUGCUGCCAACAUUCAAAUACACAUCCCCCACCUGCUAGCUACAUCAGAAGAAAUUAUGUCAAAAUCUAGCUUGGGGGAGAGCAACCCCAUUUAUCCAGCUAAGUGUUCUACUCACGUUUAUACUUUACUCAAAUAAUAAAAAGAUGCAUAAUCAUAAAAACUCAAAUAAAGAUUUUGUGCUUAUAUAUAUAUCUUUGCUUAGUUUUCUAAAUAAAUAAAUAAAUAAAGUUUGCUAUGAACCCUCAUAAUAAGCUCUCAUAUGGAAAUGAUGAAUAAUUGCUCUGCCAUGACUAGUUCUCAAAAUUGAAAUCUCUCUCAAGUUUAGGCAUGACUGGUAUUAAUUAAGAUUUGCUCUAAACCUGAACUUGUGGGGAGAGUACUUGAUCUAAAGUCUAAGUCGUUGACGGAUACGAUAUUGGAAGGUUGAGCUGCUGUUUAUCUAUUCCUAGAGAUGCUAGAAUUCUGGAGAAUUUUAUCUUUAAAAAUCUUUAAAAUGUUACAUGAUGAGUUCCUGUACGAUGAGAGUUUAAAUUCCUACCACAGCCAUAUAUACAUACUUAUUAGACUAUGAACCAUUCAUUUACUUUUUACUGCUUAUGAGCACUGAGUGUGGUCAAGCUGUGUAGACCCUUAGGAGCUUGUCAUGUGGUUAAAAUCAAGAUUCACUUGCACGUUCACUCAUACAUGCUGCUUCUACUAUGGAAGUACGCAUCCACAUAUAUCCACCCAUUUCCAUACCCAGAUUCACCCAAAAAUAUUCUACUCCUAAUCUGGGAGAGAAUAGCCAAAAACAUUCUCCUAUUUCUGUUUUACCCUGUGAAAUAAAUGCUCAAGCUAUCUUGGUUACUACCACUUGCUAUAUUAUUUCAAGAGAUGAGUGCUCUAAAAAAAGUGAAUACGAGGAAAUAAAAAGGGGCAAGUGCCCGGAACCUCGAAAGAAAAGAAAAAGUGAGACGAGAAGUAAAAAUGGACAAGUGUCUGACAGUAAAAUUAGGGGUACAAGAUACCCACCUGAGAGAAAAGAAAAAAAAAGAAAAUAUAGAGCAUCUCAUUCUCCUCAAAAAGUUUCAAAAGAGCAAGAAAGGUAUGUAUCCCCUCAAAAGAGCACAAGUAGAAUUAGACUUUCACCAUUGUUAUCACCAUCAUCACCAUACACCAUUCAUGCGCCACACAUGCACAUCUUGAUUUGACUUAUUGACUUGUUCUUCUGGAUCCAUGGUUUGACUAUGCAAUAAAUGUCUUGUAAGUAUGUAUUAGCUAUCUCCCACCUAUGAGCUCCAGAUAUCAAACCUUAUUAGAGUAGGGUGAGAGAGAAGGCAAUAUCAUUAUGCCUCAUACCACAAAUACCACAUACUUUGAGAGAAGGCAUACACCAUUACUGCCUUGGUAAGGAUCUAGAAAUACCACAAAAGAGAGACUAGAGAGAGUCAUAUAAGGAAUCUCUGAGUUUUAUUUGAAAAUCUGCAAAAACUCCAGAGCUAUAGUUGAUCAAGAACAUGAGACGUGGCGCUUGAUUAGACCGUUCUAUCUUUUAACUGCUCAGGACACAAGUGACGGUUGCAAGCCCCAUGGUGGAAGGUAAUACGAGUAAGUUUAAAUCUUAACAAUAAACCCUAACCGAGAGAUGAGAUCUUGUUUGAACGCAUGUGUAUUUUUAAGGCAUGAAACCACUGCAGAAACUCUUGAGUUCAACUUUGCUCAGGGAUGAGCAAAGGUUAAGCUUGGGGGAGCUUGUUGACGGUCCUUAAUGCUCACAUUUAAUCAUCAACUAAUCAUAGAAAAGGAUCUAAAUGCAACCAACACCUAGACUUAGGGUUUUAUCUGACAGCAUUCCACGAGUUUUGGUGUUUGUCUAUUUCUGCAGGGGGUUAUCAGGAAAUACGGAGGAAAGGCCCACACGUCGGGUUUACAUAGAGAUAUUAACGUGCUGCGCAAUUUUCUAUUAUCUAGAAGACUCCAGAAGCCACGGGAACGAACGGGAAGCCGAGAGGACUCAGGGAUGGGGUGCCUGCCCUCCUUUCCUGGGCGCCCGCCCUCACCCAGAGUCCAAUCAAGACUCUCUUUCGGGAUAUUGCUCCACCGACCUAAAGGAUCAACAAUAACCGUUCAAUCAAUGUUGGUUUGAUCCGACGGCCCAGAUUCAUCUGAAAAGACUAUAUAAGUCAGGGGUGUGAAUGAAUUCCUUGUUCUUUAUCUGCUAGAAAACUUCUUUCUCCAUGUGGGUCUUCAGUCCAAGGUCUCCUGUCUUGAGGAGAACCUUAACUCGCGGAUCAGACAAAGAUGACGGAGCUUGGGGGGGCAUCGGAUCGACGCUCAUCUCUGACUAGUGUGAGGAUUGUCGGGAUGAACUCCUUGUACCUAUUCAAUUGAGGGUCUUGCCCACGUUCUUUACCUUAUUGAACAUCCUGUAGACAAAAGUUGACACAAACACAACUAGUGGAAAAUGUUAAAGGCCAGCUGUCCGAAAUGUCAGUCGUCUAGGGGUUAGUCAUCCGAAACAAGUUUUAAUUUUGCUUUGGACAACAGGGUCACUACUUAAUAGUGAACCUCGCUCUCUUUCUCCAAGGCUACCAAACUCACUUUCACUCUUCUCUUCCCCUCUACUCUCGUUCUCACUUCACUACUAGAGCUCCUCCGCUAGAAACCGAGAACUAAAGUGUGCGUGGGUUUUCUGGAAUGCUUGUGUGAUGGAGAUGGAGGCAGGAGGUGGUGAUUUAUAAAAGGAAGGGGGGACAGGGCGGGCGCCCUCUGUAGGUGGGCGGGCGCCCCACUCAGGUGGUCUCCCUGGCUGCAGCUUCUCUAUUCCCUCCUUUGCUUAGUCUUUACGCCAAAAAAUGAUUCAUGGGUGGUGGUUGGACGGUGGAAGUUGUCUAGUGAGUGGAGAUAUGUUGGUGGAUCAAAUAAUGUGAUGAGAUAUAUGUGAGGUAUGGUGUAUGAUAUGUGGGACCCAAGGAGUGUGGGUCAUGCUUCUAGAAGGUUGCUAUAAUUAGAUAUAAUGUAGGAAAACCUAAGAAAAUUUGAAACUUAUUGAAAAUGAACAUGGAAAAAUAUUUUUGUGCUUCCAUAAUAAUUAAUAAAUAUGGAUUGUUACACACCAUAAAUAUUCUUUAUAUGGGGCUUUUGAUUAUUAUAAUAAUGCUAUGAAUGAAUGUGACUAAUGCAAGAAUUAAUUAUGCAAGAAUUUAAAUGAUGUGGAUAAAUACCGAUUUACCUCCCAGCGAGGGUUUGGGAUUUUUAGGUCCCCCAAGCUAGAGCUCUAAAUCUUUUAAUCUUCUGAAUUACCUUCCUCCAGAGAUGGUGUCUCUAGUGGUUCUUCUUCAUGAACUUCCUUCAUUGUAGAGUCUCUCUCUGGUCUGGGCUUGAAUGUGAAGUGUUCUUCUUGUCCGUUUAUGUUGAAUUUGAUUUCUCCCUUCCCGACAUCAAUGUGGGCAUUGGCAGUGCUCAGAAAUGGCCUUCCAAGGAUGAUGGACACUUUUGAGUCGGGACUCAUGUCUAGUACCACGAAGUCUACUGGCACAAGGAAAUGUCUGAUCUUGACUGGGAUGUUUUCAGCGAUGCCCAUCGGGUGUCAAACUAAUUGAUUUGCUAGUUGGAGGCACAUUGAUGUUGGUUCUAGGGUCGUAUGCUCAAGCUUCUUGUAGACUGAUGCUGGUAUCACACUGACACUUGCUCCGAGAUCACAAAGUGCAUUGCUGAAGUGUUGGUUUCUGAUCGAGCAAUCAAUGGUGGGACAUCUUGGAUCCUUCUUCUUCCUUGGUGGUUUGUUGAGGAUGGCCGCACUGCAUUCUUCUGUCAGCUUGAUAACCUCAGUGGUGGGCAGUGGUCUCUUCUUGUUAAGAAUAUCUCUGAUGUACUUUGCAUAUGUGGGUACCUAUAUGGCAUCAAGCAGAGGUAUGUUGACAUAUAAUUUCUGAAUGACCUCUACAAACUUACCAAAGUGCUCAUCCGACUGCAGUCCUCUGUUUCUUCUGGGAAAUGGCAAAUAGUUGGUGUCAUAAAAAUCUUUCCUCAUUUCUCCAGCUCUUGGUGGUUGUAGCAGAUCUUCUGCUUCAACUGGGCUUUCUUCUUCUAUCACUGCUGGUUGCACUAGUGCUGUUGUUCUCUAUUUCUCUUUUGGGUAUGGGGGAUCCCUGGUGGCUUUGCUUCCUCUAGUAGUUAUGUUCUUUACCUACUCAAUGUUAGUGGCAACAGGCAAUGUAGCAGCUAGCUUUAUUAAUUUAAGCUCUACCCUUUUAUUAAGAGUGUUUUGCUCAUCAAAGGCAGUUAAUAGAAAAUCCAUUUUAUUGUGUAUAUCUUUUAGAGAUGAUUCAUUUGUAUCUAGCCUUUGUUUAACUUGGUCAUUAGUUUUGGUUUGUUGAGCAAUUAUCUCUUUUAAUGAAAGUUGCUUGAAAGUGUUACCUGAAUUCAUACCUUUGCUAUUGGGUUGACUCGAAGUAGGUUGAUAUUUGUAUGUUGUCUCAAUGGCCCUUUGAUCUUCUUUGAACUUGGCCCUCCGGUCAAUCCAAUGGAGCAAAUUUUCCACCUUGGUUGAUAGUGUAUUUACUUCUUCGGGUAUUUCUUCAGUUUGAUGACAAUGUUGAGCUUUAUCUUGGACCCAGCUUUGGUUUUCUGAUACCUUAUCCAAAAGUAUCUCUGCUUUUCCAAUUGUAAGCUCCAAAAAUGAUGCUUUAGCAGAUGCAUCUAGGCACUCACAAGCCUUUUGGGUUAAUCCAUGGUAGAAUGUCUGCAUAAGUAACCAUUUGGCCAUUCCAUGGUGAGGGCAAUCUGAUAUGGUUUCUGUCUUCUGCUGUUGGAAACUGACAAUAUUUCCUCUUAAGGCAGUUGUUUUACCUAUAGGGAAAAACUUUGAUAGAAAGACAUCUGACAAGUUCGUCCAGUUGUUAAUGUUAUCUUGAUGGGUGUAGAACCACUUCCUUGCCUUCCCUUCUAGUGAGAAUGGAAAAAGGCGAAGCAGUAUGAUGUUUUUGUCGACUCCGUUGAUGCGGAUUGUGCUUCCAAUCUCUAAGAAAUUCUGCAAGUGUGCACUAGCAUCUUCACGUGCCUUUCCACUGAAUUGUGUAGCUUGCACCAAAUUGAUGAGGCUUGACUUGAGCUCGAACUCAGGUGCUCCUUCUUCUACUUCAAAUCUUGGACCAGUUGGAAUGUUCUCAAGACUUGGAGCAGAAAAUUCUUGCAAGGUCUUUUGUGCCAUAGCUUCAGCAAUUGGUAGCUAGCUUCUUCUUUCUUUCUUGAUCGCUUUGGUUCUGAUGAUGAAGAGUUGAAUGUACCAAAGUCAAUCCUGAUAUACCCUGUAUAAAAAAUAUAAACAUAGAAAAACAACAGGGUAAACGUGCCAAAGUAGAGGUGCCUUGUUAUGAUUUCUCAUUUAGUAGCUGUUUAUGCAAUUAUUUCUCCAUAGUCUAGUCUAAUAUAUUUAUGUGAAUAACCUUGACUGAUUUCCUGACUUUCCCUAUCGACUCCCCGGCAACGGCACCAGAAAUGCUUGUUGACACUUGCUAACACCACUUGAAUACUAGGUUGUCAUCCCAGCAUGACACUAGAGUGUACUAAGGUAUUUAUGAAUACGAAAGCUCUCUAGAAAAUAAUCUAUUCUAUCUGCAAGCGCACAGAUAAAAUACCUCAUUGUAGCAUUUCACCAGAAAAAGUAUUCCGGGUAUUGCUAUUUAUAUUUUGCUUAAGAGAACGAUGAAAGUGAAAACAGGGGUAAAAUCUAUCAAGGCAUAUACUAGAGAUAAACUUGCAAGAACAUGAUUACUAAUGAGGAACUCGUCACACAGUCACUUGCUUUGGCAGGGGGUAAGCCAUAAUAAUAAUAAAGAUAACGAAAUAUAAGCUCAUGAGUAAAUAACACAGCAACUAGAAAUAGACUACUCCUCAUAUAUGUAAGGUGACGUCGGAUUAGCUAGAGAAUGGAUUCUGAGUAACUACUAUCUACUAAGUCACAAUCUACUCUACUUAUCUACAAGAUCAUAUAUAGCACAAAAGACUCUUUAUUCAUGUAUAAGGAACAUUGCUAAAGUAAAUCAGAACAUAGCAAAACUUACUCUGCAAUACAAAUUCUGCCUGUCCUAUCAACGGAGGGUGGACUAUAUAAGAAUCAACGAAGCUGUCACCAUCGCGAACUACCACACGACCCGGCCAAUAGGAUACAUUUGCAGGUAAAUAAUAUCUAAGCACCAUGCCUAUUGACGGUCCUUCAGUAUCAAAUAUAAUCAACAAAUAAACAAAGAAAAGGAUCUAAAUGCAACUGACAUCCAGACUUAGGGUUUUAUCUGACAGAAUUCCACGAGUUUUGGUGUUUGUCUGUUUCUGCAGGGGGUUAUCAGGAAAUAUGGAGGAAAUGCCCACACGUCGGGUUUACAUAGAGAUAUUAACAUGCACCGCAAUUAUCCAACAUCUAGAAGAGUCCAGAAGCCAUGGGAACGAGCGGGAGACCGAGCGGACUCGGGGGCAGGGCGCCCGCCCUGGCCAGGCAACCAAUCACGUUCAACUUCGCGGAUCAUGCUCGACCGACCUAAGGGAUCAAGGAAAACCGUGCGAUUAAUGUCGGUUUCAUCCGACGGCCCACAUUCAUUUGGAAGGACUAUAUAAGCAGACCCCCAGGCCCCUGGAGGAGGGGACCUCUAUCUCUCUGAAACCCUAAUUCAUUUAUCCAUCUCGGGAGAAGAAGCCUCUGAUCAAGCCCUAGAGCCACCACAUCAAUAGAUCUCUAGUUUAGCAUAGCUACAUAGGAUUAGAACUAGAAGGAGUCAAUCUUCGAUUGGUUUCCAGAUCUGUCAAGAGGAUUCUUGGUAAUUCCUCCACUGUUCUUCAUUUGUUCAUAAUUGUUUUUCAAUAUUAUGAAUAUGACUUUGCUCUACUUCAAUAUAUUGAUUAUGACUUUGCUCUACUUGUUUAUAUUGGCAAUUAUAUUAUUCUUAGUUUAUCAUAGUUAUAUGCUUGGCUUAGUUAGAUUGGAAUUAUAUACAUGUUUAGGAUCGUAUAGCGUUUAUCCAUGUGUACAGUGGGUAAAUGAUAAGUAUUGUGUAGGCGUGGUGCCUAUACCAUAUUUAUCUGCGAUUGUACCCUAUAUGCCGGAUCACGGGCUAGUUCGUGGUAGUGACAGCUCUAUUGAUUUUUAUAUAGUCCCCGUCUCGUGUAUAGGGCAGGCAGAGUAACAUUAUUACAGGGGAGUGAUUGCUAUGUUUCUCAUCUUCCUUGAUAAUAUCACUAUGCAUGGGCGUAGUCCUGUCUCGCAAUGAUUGCCAAAUAUAAUUGCACUAACUAUGAUAUGCUAGACUUUAUAGUUAAGAAUAACUUAGGAAAUAUUCUUGUAGUUCAUCCUAAUUCCAUGCUAAUGACUUGCUAGAAUAUCUAUUGAGGUGCUUAUCAUUAUUAUAUGUGGCUAGUUAUGCUGAUCAGAUUAAUUAUCUUUGUCACCAUUCAUACUUUAUCUAUCUUUUACGUGACAUUUAUUCCUGUAUGAAAGAGAUAGAUAAAUGAUCUCAAUUAUACAUGUAAUGAUAGAUACUCAGUUCUAUAUUCCAUUCCAUGAUCAACAUUGAUGAUUAGCAAUCCCUUCCCAGUGGUAAAAAUAUAAAUAACGAUACCUGGAAUACUUCUCGGUUAAAAUGCUACAUCGGUAUUAAUCUGUGCGCUUGCAGAUCUCAUUUAUUAUUUAUUCAGAAGAGCAAUUGCAUAUUUCAAUACCGCGUCUCUCAUAUCAUGAUGGGGAUGACAUUAAGAAUGCCCAACAAGCAUUUUUAGCGCCGUUGCCGGGGAAGGUUGAUUACUAAUCAGGAAUGAAUAUGGAAUUUUAAUUCAUCAUUCGCAUCACUAAUAUGAUUGAGCUUAUCAAUUCUCUCAUACAGUUUUAUCCUGAUAUUUUUUCUAUUUUAUUUUUAUGCAGGGUAAUGUAUGAAUAGAAGACAUCUUCUAGGAAAUUUUGUUGACAAUCCCGAAGCGUUAUUCAGAAAAACAAGAGCCAAGCUCAAGAAGAAAUCAUCAACACUUCAGCAAGAAGCUUCUUCCAAUCAAGAAGAUCACCGGAACUUGUCUUCAGAAUUCGAAGCCAUGGUGAACAAAAUGAUCCGCGAGUUCUCAGCUCCCACUACGGACAACAUCCGUACUGGACCUGCUGCAGAGAUCGAUGGCGACUUUGAGCUCAAGCCUGGACUUAUCAACAUGGUGCAAUCCAACCAGUUCUGUGGGAAGGCACAUGAAGAUGCUAGUGCUCAUCUCCAACACUUUCUAGAGAUUUGCAGCACAUUUACCAUAUCAGGAGUCCCCAGAGAUGCUAUACUACUUCGCCUCUUCCCAUUCUCACUGUUAGGGAGAGUGAAGCAGUGGUUCUACGCUACAAAAGAGAAGAAUACUAUGAAUUUUCUGGCUAAGUUCUUUCCCAUGGGCAAGACCAAUGCUCUCCGUGGAAAAAUUACAAGUUUUCAGCAACAACAUGACGAAUCCGUUCCAGAAGCAUGGGAGCGCUUCCAAGACUACAUCCUAGAAUGUCCCUAUCAUGGAAUGGAGAGCUAGCUACUGAUGGAGAUGUUUUAUCAUGGGCUCGGCAACAGUGCCGGAGAAACCAUGGAUGCUGCAGCUGGAGGAGCAUUCUUAUCACUCACCAUACCACAAGCCACAACUCUUGUGGAGAAGAUGGCGUCCAACCAAGGCUGGAAUGAAGAGAGGACCCAGACACGCAAAAAAGGUGGAGGUAUGCAUCAGCUCAAGGAGGUAGACAUGCUGUGUGCAAAGCUAGACCUGCUCAUGAAGAAGCUCGACGAUAAAGCUAGAGAUAAGAAAGAAGUUAUGCACAUCUGCGACUCUCACAUGACUUGUGAGGAGUGUGGAGAUACUGGACACUCAGGAGAUCAGUUCCCUGAGAUGCUUGAGGAUGUGAACUACAUCAACAACAACAACUACAACCGUCCUCAACAAAAUCAAGGUUGGAAUCAACAGACGCCUAACUACUCUGGUAAUUAACAAGACAUGUUUGAUGCAGGUAACUACUGGAGUAACCCCGUCACUGAAGUUAAUACUGACCAGGACGCCCCGUCAUCCCGAUCUCCGUCGUCAUGGUGGACUCCCAGAAGCACUCUGUGACUUUGGCUCCAGCGUCAACAUUAUGCCCAGGUUUGCAGAUCAGGCGUUAAGUUUCCCAAAGGGAAUAUUGAGGAACCUCUGCGUCCGAGUUGGUACAUUGUAUGGCCCAGCAAACUUCGUAGUGAUAGAGACCGGUAAUGAUGAUAGGGCACCCAUCAUCUUAGGGAGGCCAUUCUUAGACACAUCAGGAGCUGUCAUCUACGCUAGUGCUACCAAGAUCAGUUUCUACAUCAAAGGGAGAAAGGAGACGUUUUCCUUCAAGAAGAAGACUGCGUAAAUCUCAGAGCAAUCUUGACAUGAACCAUGGAAGAGGACCAACAGGAGGAACAGGAACAAGCAAGUGUGGACCGAGUUAGCUAAGAUGGUCACUGAAGUUCAUGGAGGACAAGAUCAUCAACUUAAGUCACUGUUUCUGACCAAGAAGGACGACCCAGGAAUGCCAAGCAUCUAUUGCUCCAAAAAUGGAUACAACUUCUACAAGACGUUUUGCGACACCGGAUCGGGCAUCAACAUAAUGGCCGCAGUCACCUAUCGGCUCUUGUUCGGAACCAUGCCCUUAAAACCAACAUACAUUCAGCUCUAGAUGGCAGAUCAGACAUUUCGAGAGGUUAAUGGUAUAAUAACUGAUGUCCCUGUCAAAAUAGACGAUCAUUUUGUCUACACAGACUUUCAGGUUAUUGACAUGGGUGGAAGACGAGUAUGAUUCACCCGUCAUCCUUGGAAGACCAUUCCUCAGCACCGUUAAAGUAAUUAUCUACAUUGGAACAGGAGAAGUCCAUAUGCACUUCCCCUCAUAGAAGGUACGCCGCUAUUUUACUGACCCUAAUUAUAUCGUUGAAGACUCUAAGCAGGUUAGUACAAGAAGAAGACGACGCAACCGCAACCAGAGGAGGCAAAUCAUCAAGGACGGAUGGGCAGACUAUGAAGGAAAAGUUAUAAGGUCUGAAGACAUACAGCUUGAACAAGAUUAUCCUGAGGAGACCGUAGCACCAAGUCAGGUGUGGAGAGAGAAGAUAACUAUACACGAAGAGAAGGCGCCACUGGAAGCACCGACUACGCCACCGAACGAACCCCAGGACAACUGAGAAAAUGGAGAGUCCCGUUCAAAGGACUUAAAAACACCGAACGCCUUGCCAAGAGGUAAACUUGGUAGUUAUCCUUUUCCUUUUCAGUUAUUUGAAAUAGUUUACUUAGUUAAUCAUGUUCAUACUAUCCUAAAAAGAAAAUAAAAAUGUUAAAAAUGGUAAGCCCCAUGUGAGUAUACGAGUGGCAUAAAAUCCAUAAGUACAUUCACUGUGGUGGCAUAAAAAUAAAAUAAAUAUUUCUUUUCUGCUUAUAAAAAUGAAAAUAUAAAAAUAGAGAGUAACAUUUAUUGAGGAGGCUCAACAUGAUAAAGGCUAGAUAUUUAUGCUAACACUUAAUUAGUUCCACAAAGCUUUGUUGUCUAUUCGAGCUCCACAGAAUUUAAGAAUUCAGAAGACUAGCAGACGGAGGACAUUCUAAUCGUUGUCAGGAUACUGCCGACUUUCAAAUACACCUUUGCCACCUUCCAACUACAUCAGAAGAAAUUAAGUCCAAAUUCAGCUUAGGGGAGAGCACCCGCAUUUAUCUCGCUAAGUAUUUCUAUCUAUCUUUAUACUUAUACUAUAUUAAAAUAUAAAUAUACAGAACUAUGGAAAACCAAAUAAAGAUUUUAUGCUUAUAUAUAUAUAUAUAUAUGUCUUUUGCUUAGUGUGUUUAAUAAAUAAAUAAAGUGGCUAUGCUAAAUUGAAUCAUAAUAAUAAAACUCUAGCAUGGAUGUGAUGAGUAGUUGCUCUGCCUAAUUUUCAAAUUUGAGUUUUCUCUCAAGUUUAGACAUAACUGUUAUAAUUUAAAGCUUGCUCUAAAUCUGAACUUGUGGGAAGAAAACUUGAUCUGAAGUCUAAGUUGUUAACGGAUAUGAUAUGGGAAGGUUGAGCUGCUGUUUAUCUGUUCCUUGAGAUGCUAGAAUUCUGGAGAAUUUUAUCUUUUAAAUCUUUAGAAUAUCACAUGAUGAGUUCCGGUAUGAUGAGAGUUUAAAUUCCUACCACAGCCACAUAUUUACAUGCUUGCUAGACUCUGAGCCACACAUUUACUUUUUUACUGCUUAUGAGCAUUGAGUGUGGUCAAGCUGUGUAGAGCCUUAGGAGCUUGUCAUGUGGUUAAAUCAAGAUUCACUUGCACGUUCAUUCACACAUGCUGCUUUCUACUCCGGAAGUACGCAUCCACAUAUAUCCACCCAUUUCCAUCUCCAGAACCACCCAAAAAUAUUCUACGCCUAAUCCGGGAGGGAAUAGCCAAAAACAUUUCUGUUUUCUCCUAUGAAAUAAAUGCUCAAGUUAUCUUGGUUACUACCACUUGCUACAUUAUCUCAUGAGAUGAGUGCUCUAAAAAAAGAGAUACGAGGAAAUAAAAAGGGGCAAGUGCCCAGAACCUCGAAAGAAAAGAAAAAGUGAGACGAGAGGUAAAAAUAGACAAGUGUCUGACAGUAGAAUUAGGGGUACAAAAUACCCACCUGAGAGGAAAGAAAAAGAAAAUAUAGAGCAUCUCAUUCUCCUCAAAAAGUUUCAAAAGAGCAAGAAAGGUAUGUAUCCCCUCAAAAGAGCAAAAGUAGAAUUAGACUUUCACCAUUACCAUACACCAUUCAUUCGCCACACAUACACAUCUUGAUUUGACUUAUUGGCUUGUUUCUUUGGAUCCAUGGUUUGACUAUGCAAUAAAUGUCUUGUAAGUAUGUAUACUUUAUCUCCCACCUAUGAGCUCCAGAUAUCAAAAGCCUUAUUAGAGUAAGGUG
RNAcentral lists this long non-coding RNA (58122 nucleotides) under Sorghum bicolor (sorghum). RNAcentral's name for it is "long non-coding RNA (SBIC_LNC011883)". Lineage: Eukaryota; Viridiplantae; Streptophyta; Magnoliopsida; Poales; Poaceae. The record is from RNAcentral.